This is a non-coding RNA of Oryctolagus cuniculus (rabbit), 63462 nucleotides long. Lineage: Eukaryota; Metazoa; Chordata; Mammalia; Lagomorpha; Leporidae. The record is from RefSeq and is a predicted model, not a curated record.
GAUGCAGUGUUUCUUGCUGUAUAGUCCGUGGGAAAUGCUGUCCAGCUUUGCUUCCUUGCAUGUGGAGUUAAUGUUCCCACCAAGGCCAGCUGGAGGUCUUGUUUGAUUGACUUUGGGGACAAAAUUGGUGGGAUGGUGGAAAUUAUUUUGUCAAAGCUGGUUAUUUGUCUGAGACUAUGUACAGGACAGGGGUAAAUACUUCUCUGAAAUUGAACUGACCACUACAAGUCAAUGACUGCCUUUCUUUAAGAAAAUAGCAAAUAGUCAAAUGGUUGUCAGAGUGACCCUUGGUGAGUGGUGGGGCUGAAUUCAGUGCUGAAGCCGUGGAACGAGCCAGGCCUGGGGAUGCUUCCCACUUCACAUCAGUCAUCAAAAUGGAACUUUGUUUCUGAAAAAGGUCAGUCCCAGGACGUGUAAAGGUGCCGGCAUUUAAUUUAUUAAAUGAAUUCUUCAUGGCUUCAAGAAGCUUGUUUCUGAGUGGGUUUGCUGAUCACCUGGGCUUCACCUGGUCCUCGGGGGUUCUGCCCCAGCCCCGGUCCUGCAGGCAGAGAACCAGCGCCCGUGUGGCCUCUGUAAGUCACUCGCACUGUCCUCCUGGGGGUUCCUGAAGGUGCAAUGCAGACCUGCUGUGAAGGACCACCCUGCCCCGCCGUCCCACCUGCGGCUGCUCUUGGAGCCUGGAACGGGGCGGGCAGUAGGUAGCCUGCACUUCAAGGGCACGUGUGCAUGAAAGGCUGGAACUCCGGGAACACGUCUCACCGUCACCUCUCGAAGGGUUCAGGCUUCUGAGAGUCAGCCUCGGUUCUGUAGCUUGAGUGUUCCACGUGCUCGGGAUGGUCAUCUCAGAGGGAGGCAUUGAUUGACAUGUCCCCCCCCCCCCCCGCAACAGCCCUCGGCUUUGACCCUCAAUGGGGCUUUUAUUCUCUGCUCUGGUUUUCUUAUGAGUAGAAUUGGUGUUAAAAUCUCUACAUACAGGAGCUGGUGUUUGUCUUAGUGGUCAAGACAUGGGUUAGGCCACUUGCAUCUCACAUUGACAGACCUGGGUUGAAUACCUACCUCCAUUAUCUGACCUGAGCCUUCUGCUAAUGCAGAAUCCGGGAGGCAGUGGUGAUGGCUCAGGUAGUUGGUUUCCUACCACCCAAAUGGGAGACCUGUUUUGGGCCCCACCUCCACGCUUUGGCCCAGUCUAGUCCUAGGGAGUGAACCGGCAGCUAGAAGAACUCUGUCUUCCUGUUUCUCUGUGUCUCUUUGCCUCUCAAAUUAAAAAAAAAAAUCUAAAGAAAAUGUCCACGUAUAUUUAGCUCAUGUCUUGAAGUAAUGAAACAUUUUGCUUAUAGGUGUGUGCAUCUGUUCACUAACUCUCAGUCAUUAACUGAGCUUCCAGUGCAGGUACAAGCACCAAGCCAGGUGCUGGGGAGCCACCCAGAGAGCUGUGGUGCUCACUGUGCGGCCACUGAUAGAGGGAAGCAGAGAGAGAAGCCAGUCCACAGUUGCAGUGGGGUGUGUUAGUGGGUGUGGUGCAGAUGCACACAGGUAGCAUGUGGAUCUCUGGGUCAGGGCUGUGUGUAAGGUGCAGGGUGUCUGGAAAAGCUUUCCUAGAUAUUUUAAAAGGUUUGUGGAAAAUUGAAAGAUAAAUGUAUGUUAGUGUAAAAAUUUUUUUAAAUCAGUGCAUGUUUUUUUCAUAAUAUGCAUUUCUGUGAACCUGCUAAAGGUCUGCCAUACACUUGGACUUUAAAAAGUUUACACCAAAAUAAACUUACCUUUGUGUUAACACUUAUUUUAUUUAUUUGAAAGGCAUACCAAUACAGCAUAAGGAAGAGGCAGAGAGAUUUUCCAUCCACUGGUUCACCAUUUGGGAAUGGCUGCAACAGUGAGGUGUGGGCCAGCAGCCUGGAACUCCAUCCUGGUCUUACACAUAGGUGCAGGGGCCCAAGUACUCAGGCCAUCUUCCGCUGCCUUCUCAGGCACAUUAGCAAGGAGCUGGAUCAGAAGUGCAAUAGCUGAGACUCAAACUGGUGCUCUGAUAUGGGAAGCUGGUGCCGCAAGCAAUGGAUUAGCCUGCUGUUCCACUGCACCGCCCCCGAUAAAUUUAUCUUCUAAUUUCACUUUUCCAUUAACUUUUUAAAGUAUCUUCCUAGGUUUCUGAGCAGCCUGCGAGGGCCGUAUUCCUUCAGAGUUCAAAUGAGGACUGAAUCAUCCCGAUUAUUCACACUAAAGUACUGGAAGGUAUUUGUCAUUUCACUUAGAAAAAUUUUUUUCUGAAUAAAAAUGAUCAGCAUCUUCAAAACUUUGUUUUUGAAGGCUAAAACCUAAGAUACGAAGAACACUCAGGAACAGAGCACCAAAUUCCCUGUCUCUUGGGCCUGAUAAAUGAGCUCUUUGGCUUCUGCUUGUGAAGCGAUUUGAAUGAUAGUAGCAGUGAGCUGCUGAUUGUGCUGAGCCAAGAACCAGAAAUAGGCUUUCAUCCCACAAGGAUCAGAUGUUAACUAAAUAACCAUCACGUUUUCUCUUCCACAAAGCUUGCAAACAGAUACAGAAGUUUCGCAAGGGAGUCAUUUCUGGCUUUACUGAUGCACAUUGGGGAAGGGAACAUGUGAAGGGGGCGUGGCUCCCCACUUGGGCUGUACAUGCUUACUUCCCUUGGUUCAGGGGUUAACAGAAGAGUUAAGCUCCAGAAUCAGUGUGGUAUUUACAGCUACUUACCCAAAAAAGUCCAAACAAGGAUUUCCCUCUCCCAGGAGUGAUGUCACAUCUGCCCAGCAGGUCCCCACCCUACUUGACAAGUGUGUCUGCUCGGCUGGAUCCUCCCAGAAAACCUCAUGACUUUAUGGGGUGUAAUUGAGGACCUUGGCAGAGUAGCCCCGAUUUGUAGCUCAGGCAUAUCCACUGUUGGCUAUUUAUAUACAGGGCGGUGGAGCAAGCCAGCAUUGCUGAAAAGAGCCUUCACUUAAAAUAUCAGCCCCAGCAGUUGUCAUCAAUUACAUUGUGUGCUGCUCAAUAAAAAUGGGAGGUUACUACAGCAGCGCUGACACCACUUGGUGAAAUAUAAACCGCAGGCGUGCAGGAUGCAGAGCACUUCAUCUUCCAGGAAAUAGGGGCCUUGCUGAACCCCAUUGGAAGUUGUCAGCAGCAGAGAGAAGUCAUUUUCCAUCCUAAGCUGAAAAAGAAUCAAACGUAGUUAAGGUGGCAUUGUUCUUGAGGGAAACUUUGAGUUGUGAGAAAUAGAACAUGUGGAAGAGCAUUUUCAAAGAUUCGUAGAUGGCAUAUAUGGGCUGGCAUGGGGUGAGCAUGCAUCGUUGGGGAAGAGGAUGCGAGGGAAGGCUGAGGGUGGGGGUUUCUGACACAGUGUUGCAGGACACCCCCAAAACUGGCUGGAGGACAUGCUGUAGAACAAUAAAACGGGUCUGCUCGCCUAAAACGCAGCAAGCCAGUUAGGGCGCCGUGGCGGAGGAAGAAAGGAGGGGCUUACUGCAAAGGGCACAGCAAGGAGCCGGGCAGCUGUUCUCAGUAGAUGGGCUUCUGAGGCGCUAGGGCUCAAGGUUCUUACAGGUUGAAGUUGGGUUGAGAAGUGCAGGGCCAGCUCGUGUCCAGUCCCUGAUUGGGCUGCAGGGGCUCGUGGCCUUCCUCGGACUGGUUGGUGAUGCCCUGUUCUUAGGGAAUUUUGAUGAUGGUGAAGUGGGCUGCAGUCAGUCCAGGGGAGACGUACAGGUGGUAGUUGCCUGUCCUUUAGGGCUUGAGGUUUCUGGAGAAGAAAGCCCCCAAGACAACACCAAACACCAAGAUGGUAUCUACCUGGGAAAUAAAGGACCAGAUGAGUUUUGUGUUCAGGGAUCUUGCAGGGCUGCCUAAAUCAUUCCUUCAGUGCGGGGAGUUAAUUUUAGCAAGUGCUUGAUUUGCAAUCAUAAAAGCAGGGCAAGGCAACGUUGAGCUGAGGGAGGGAGACAGGGAGAUGAGGACCUGAUGGGCUGUAGCAUCUGCAUCCUAGGCACUCUGCAGGCCUGGGAAUCUUUGUGCCAGUGCCACUUGGAUAUUUAUGACACAGUUCAUGGACCAUACAAGAUUAGCAACUUACAAAUUAACCUGCUCUGGAGUUACUGCUUGCCAUUACCUUGGCAGGGUCAGACUAACUGUUUGGAUGUUCCCCACCCCUGGUCUAGGGGCCUGAGUUCAGUAGUGUAGUCAGGUGAUUUGAGGCAAGUUGUUAAGGAUAAUUCAUAGCAAGCCCUCGUGUUUGAACUUUGUUUUCUUAGCAAUGGAGAGCCAGGGCUGACAGGGCAGUGUCUUGGAGGAUUCAAUUUGGUGACUUACCAGCUGUGAACAUGAGCUGUACUUGCUGAAUGAUGUGACUUCAUGGGAUUCUUGUGUGGCUUCUCCAUGACACCACUCAUUGUCUUGUAGCCUCGGGCUCUGUCACAGGCAAUUAGACUUAGCAGUCUGUCUCUAGCUUGACCUCUGAAAUGUCCAUGAAGAUUCUGAUUGCCCCAAACUGUUGGUGUGAAUAGUUAGGAGACUUGAAAUAUUCAUGGGGCUGGCCUUGUGGCACAGUGGGUUAAGCUGCCUGCUACACCAGCAUCCCAUGUGAGUACCAGUUUGUGUACUGGCUGCUCCACUUCUGAUCCUGCUCCCUGCUGAUGUGCCCGGGAAAGCAGUAUAAGAUGGCUCAUAGGAGAGACCUGGAUGAGGCUUCUGGCUACUGGCUUCUGGCUUCAACCUGGCUAAGCCCCCACCACAGCAGCCAUUUAGGGAGGGAACCACCAGAUGGAAGGUCUCUCCAUCUCUUCUUAAGUCUCCAUUUCUUUGUGUCUGUCUGUCUGUCUCUCUCCCUAACUCUGGCUUUUAAAUAAUUUUUUUAAAGAAAAAGUAUUCAGGAAACAGUUGAUGGGCUGUAACUGCUCUCUGUGCUUAAACACAUUUACUGGAUGCCGAACAGCAGCAAUUGUGUGGUGGGCACAGAAUUGCCUGCGCGGCGGUUAGAAGACACUGCCACGCCUGGUGCUCACCAGUGAUGGGCCUCGCUUGUUCUCUUUAAGGGAUUCGCCCGUGCGUCUGCUGGAAGAAUAUAAUAAACAUCAACUUCGGGCUUUUCUAAGAAUUCUGAGAUUAGGGUGAAGUCAUAGCUCCUUUUUGCUUGUCAUGAUUUGAUGUCAAAUCUCACAGAAGAGACAGACAGGGGCUCAGGGCUGAUGGGAAGAAUUCCUAACGCAGGUGAGAACUGUCCUCUGUGAAGCUGGCAAAGGAGGACCCCGUGCCGAGAGAGGUGGGCAGGCCGUGCUGUUGGAGACAGCCACAGACAGGCGCGGGUGGGUGUCCUGUGCUGCCGGCGGGGUGAGGUGGAGGCUGCAGGACGGGCCUCUGCAACGGGGCUGCCGGAGGCUGGAGUGCCGGGGGCGAUGCCCGAGGUUUCCGUGGCUUCUGCAUUGUCCUGUCAGCUGCUUCCUUCAGCUGGCCCCUGGCAAGCCUGGCACUGCACAAGACGUUCAGUGCUUCUCAGUGUGGAAGCUGGCCCAGCAAGGUCCUCCCCGAGACGGCAGGCCCUGUCACAUAGGUGUGGGACACCCACAACUCUGGGAGACUCUCGUGCUCUCUGGCAAUUGAAAAGAGACCAUUGGACCUAGUCUUUUUCUAAGUUGGUCUUGGACCUCAUGUUUUCAUUUUUGUUUUUCUGCCACACAGCAGGUGCCAGAGAAGUAGUGUGUCUUGUGCAGUGUGCUUUGUGAAGUAUGGUCUGGAAUCCUGGGGUUUGGAGCUUAGAACUAGUCUGACAGUUACUAGCUGUGUGAUUCUGGGAAAAUAGUUGACCGGCUCGGAGCCUAAGCCCUCCCACCUGGAGAUGGCAGUGAUAGUACGCCCAGGACAGCAUUGAGCCGAUUCAGGGGUCUCUAUGCCUGGCAUGCAGUAAGUGCUUCUGCGGUCUUGCUUGAGCAAGUACUUGACCCUUUGCAGCCCCCUCUCUUCCCACUCCUUAGUCCCCACCUGGUGGCCCUCAGAGCUGUGGUGUUCUGGAGUUCUUAGGACUGGGUUGGCCCUGGUCCAUUUAUAGCAGGCAGGUCACUGUUGGGGGCACUGCAGGCCCCCUCAGUGGGUCCCAAGAGGUUCAGGCUAUAUGAUACAUUGAUUUAUUCCCUAGUUACCAAGUCAAUGACACUUAACCCCCCUGUCCUGGCUAAUAGGGGUAGCGUGGGAGAUACCUCUUUUUGGGACACCGCCAGUUGUCAAUCCUAAGACCUCCCGUCAGGGUCCUGCGCAGGUGUGGAGUCGUAAGUACAGAGGGAUGGGGAGGGCCUGUGGUGUUGGUGGAGUGAGGCUUGAUCUGCGUAACUGGGACAUUCACAAGAUGCAAGGGUUUAUACCACUGACACGGCUCAGUGUUAGUCCAGGAACUUUCAGGCGUCACCACUCAGUCUCAGUCUGCACCUUUGGCUUGAGCAGGCUCCCUGGUGCUACUCAGCCCACUUUUGCUGACAAGGCACCUCCAAGGCCCUAAUAAAGGUGUUGUCACAGAGACACACUGUCCCCUGUAGUGAGGUGGCCUGAGGGGGAGCACUAGUCAACAGGCCUAGAGGUGAAAUUCAUUAUUUAAUAAGUUUAUUUAUUAACACAUUUAUUAAGUUACUGAACUACGGUACCCUUCUAAAAAAAUAAAAUGUGUGCUUUACGAUUCCAGAUUGCGGGAUGAAUGGGAAGCCAAGUGAAUUCUGACAAGUUGCUUCAAAACUUUCCAAGUAGUCCUUGAAAAAAAUGGAAGUUUAUUCACAAUAGUUUUGCUGAAUGAGAGGCAUUUUUAGGGAGUGCCUUGGAGAGGGGUGGUAGGGAAGGUAAUUUGUGUUUAUAACUGCUCCACUCCUUUCAUUCCUGGUUGUGUGAAGGUGUCUCCGAGUGAUGGAGCUUGAUUAACUUAGGUUCUCUGCUGUGGCCACUGUCUGCUCAGGGAAAGAACCAUCCAUGUGUUGGCCCUGAGACGCCACGGGAUGAGACAAGGCGUUUUAGGAGAAGUGGCUGAGGAGUUAACGCAUGGGGCUUUUUGUCUUCCAAGACAAGUAGGCAGUGAAUGUUUUAGGUCAAGUGAGCAGCCCCUGGAGUAAAUCCCACCAUCCUUCCCGAGUAGCUUGGCUGUAGCUAAACCUCGGGUGAUGCCCGUGAGCCUGAGAGCAGAAUAUCAACUCGUGGAAAUUGGUCUCCAGACAGAAAGAAAGCUCGCCAAAUCAAGGGCCCCGUUUACCCUUGCUGCUGACCUGAAGAGAAGAAAAACCGUGCCCUUUGACCUGCAGCCUAUUAGACCGAGAUCCUGACAAGCUCAAAUCCAGGCCAGAGCCUGGAGCUGCUUCGAGGUGAAGAUUCUCAGACUCAAGGGGACAGAGCUCUCCCCGUGGAGCUGUGUUUGCGGAACCCCCGCCCGGUGGGUUACUGAAGCGGCUCUCUGUUGCCUGUCUGAAAGGGUGCCUGGGGAGUCAAGAUCCUCGCUUCUAAAAUUGUGCGUUAGAAGGAGGAUUACUGUGAAAUUUUACAUGAUUAGCUUAGUAGAGACCUUAAGUCCCUAUAGCUUUCCUCUUGAAGUGGAAUUUAACCUCACCCCAAAAAGAGCCCCUGCUUUGCAUUCAGACGGCCUUGCGCGGUUUCCAGUUUUGCAAGGCUCUCUUCACCUUAGCUGAUCCCCGGAGCUGCUGCUGUUCACAGGCAGCCAGCCUGGUCUGUGGGAAGCAUCUUAAUCAUUUUCUCCUGCUUCUCUCCUGGUUCCUGUGCUUGGUUUCCCCCUCUCUGUCUUUUCCAUGUGAUUUAGUCACGUGCUUUAUGCGAGGUAGUAACUCCCCUUCCUCAUAUUAGCCAGCCUCCUGCCCAGUGAAAUCGGUCUCUCCCCACUGCCCUCGCUGUUUCUGUUUCUUGUUUGUGUCUGUAAAAUAGGUAGCAUUUUUUUUUUGACAGGCAGAGUGGACAGUAAGAGAGAGAGAGACAGAGAGAAAGGUCUUCCUUUGCCGUUGGUUCACCCUCCAAUGGCCGCCGUGGCCAGUGCGCUGCGACCGGCACACCGUGCUGAUCCGAUGGCAGGAGCCAGUACUUAUCCUGGUCUCCCAUGGGGUGCAGGGCCCAAGCACUUGGGCCGUCCUCCACUGCACUCUCUGGCCACAGCAGAGAGCUGGACUGGAAGAGGAGCAACCGGGACAGAAUCCGGCGCCCCAACCGGGACUAGAACCUGGUGUGCUGGCACCACAAGACAGAGGAUUAGCCUAGUGAGCCGCGGUGCUGGCAAUAGGUAGCAUUUUUAAAAAUGAGGGAGUGCUGAUUUUUUUAAACAUUGCAGCUCAAUUCUGCUGGGGAAGAAACAGAAAACUAUUAACUGAAAUGUCGGCACACCCCUGCUUUAACUCUGUCUCUCUGCUUUGAAGUUAGAUCAAGUUAAAAGUUUUCUCUUUCAUCUUGGGCUGCCUUUGCCUGCUUGCUUAUUUUAAAGAAAGAAACAUCAGAUAUAAGAUUGAAAUCCUAUGGGUCCCUUCUUGGUCUUUUCCAUUUUAUUUGCUCUCAGAGUAACUGUAUCAUUAAUUUGCUUCUCUGUCCAGUUUCGUAGACUUUGAGGGUUUAUGUGCAUGUGUGCAGUUACAUGUUUUACAAUACAGUUUAAUUAUCUGCUUUACGUGUUUAUUAUCCUUAAUAUUUUCUGAGCUUUUCUGUUUUCAUAGUUAUCGACCUAGCUGAUUCAUUUACCCUGUAAGGUUCUUAUUCUGAGAACAGAACACAGGCAGUGUAACCAUUGUGUUCCCUCACUGAAGUGUGUGUUGCCUCCGCCUCUUUUCUUGCUGGGGCUCCUUUUUCUUAGCAUUUCUGACCACACUGAUUCUUCCGUUGGGCCCCCGGCCUACACAGGGUGGGACACGGCUCUGCCACUGUUAAAAUGGGCAACUUGGGGCAAAUCCCAAAGGCUGUCUUGACUUCAGUUUGCCCAUUUCUAAAAUAGAGAGCUGGACCUGGGACCCUUGCCACCUAUGAUUGUUCAUUUCAGGCAGCAUGGUUUUCUGUUUUCUCGUGAAGGAAGAAAAAUGAGAAAUUUGAAACAUGACUCCAGAGGUUGCAGUUUAACCAAUGAAGUGUGAAUAUAACUGCAGGAAGCGCAGUGGAAUUAAAUGGGCCUUUUCACCAUCAGGUGUGGGGGGGAGGCCCAGAAUGAAACGUCAAAAAGACCAAACUGGGAGAUGUUUUCUUUUGCAUAGAAUCUCAUGGAACACUGCCCAGUGGGGAGGACAAGCCAGGGGUUUGAAGAGCUCGGGUCCCCGUCAGGCCUCUCCCACUAGCUCACUGCAUCCGUUUAAAUAAUCUAACACAGCCUUUGUGAUUCCCUGUGUCCACUGGGGCUAACGUUUUGUAGGACAUUUGUGCAGACCAAAAGUGAUUCUGCUUGCAAAGGGCCGAGGAGUGGUGGGUGCUGUCUCCUGGCGACCCUCCCUUCCUUUCUGGCCUGAUGAGCUCUGGGGUCCCUCUAUGUCAUUCUGUUUCCUCUCACAGGACGUGGGCAGCCGUAUGAGUGUUUGUGGGGGCUUCUGGGAAAGGCUCCCAGGGCCUGUACCCCUAGAACCAGGAAGCAAAGCCAUUCCGAGUUGGGGUUCCUGCCUUCGGAUGAAGUAGCAGAGUCAGGAAGGGCAGCAGCGUGCCCCCUGCAGUGAUGGCCCAGGUGGCUUCCUGGUUCCUGAGUCUAAGGUCAUUUCAGCACAAUCAGCUCCAUUGUGAAGAUGUGUUUAUUACCUUUCCCCAGACUCUUCAAAUGUGGUGUGUGUUUUAUAAAAAGGAAAAAAAAAAAAAAAAAAAAAAAAAAAAAAAAACACCUUUCCUGCUCUUCUGCCUGCCAGAACAAUCACCCCUGACUUCGUUGUAUUGUGUGUUGAGUCCUGAUGAACCAGCCUUAGUUUGAGAAAAGUCUCAAUAGGAAAAAAAUGUCAGCUGAAUUUUAAAAUUGUUGAAGAUUGCUGUUUCAGUUUCCCUUAUUUGAGCGUGUCCAGUGGAUUCUAGUGUGUCCACGGUGAGGAGAACGCUGAUUAGAGAAAAUCUGCCCAAAUCGCCACACGUGCCCUCCUGCGAUGGACACAUGGUGCUGCUAGGGUCCUCCGUUGUGUUGCAGCAGUCGAUGCUGGACACCUGCGAGGUGUUCGCGCUCCCCGGUCACCACGUGUGAUGAGAAGGGCCCUGAGCUGUGCGAUCUCCAGGAUUGGGUUCAACUCCCAGUUCUUCCCUUUCACAGCUGUGCGUACCUAGGCACACACUUCACUUCUCUGAGCCUUGGUUUCCUUAUCUGAAAUGCAGAAAGCAUGGCAUUGACGGGGAACUGUGCAACUCCAGACCCCAUCUUAGUAUAAUAAAGGCAAGGAAGCCACCGCAGCAGGUGGAGCCCUGGUGCUUUGUUUUGGAGUCUGGGUUUUGAGCUGCCCACUUAGCCCAUCAGAGGGUGGGUUAAUGGAGCAGGUCAUUACACACAGAGGCCGGGAAGAGGAAUGUGAUGGUGUCCUUCCUCAGCGAGGUUAGGUCCAUGGAGCGGAGAGAGAUAGGAAGAGACGUCACGUGCCGACGUGGAAGGGGCCUGACAGCAGGGGCUCUCGGUGAGCCCUUCCUAGGUGAGGUUUGGGGGAAGUACCAGAGAAGGAACGGCUUGGGGGGAGGCAGGCAGCUGGGUGGGCUUGGCCUGGAGGGCGGGUCUAGUGGGGAGACAGGUUCCCAACAGCCGCUCACCCAGGUUGCAGGAGCGAAGUUUUCAUGCAGUAGACGGUUUGGGCUCUGAUGCCACAAUUCCAUUGACUGGGUGGUUUGUCAAGAACUGAAUUAAUUUCUCCGUUCUGGAAGCAGCGAGUCUGAGGCCGAGGUGCUGGCACUAUUGGGUUCUGGUGAGCACCCCCGUUCUGAGUCUCCUCCUUGGAUCUUUAUCUGGUGGGAAUGUGCAGGAAAGAGAGCCCCAGAAUUCUCUGGGGUCCCUCUUUAAGGCCACUCUCUUUGGCCCACAAAAUAACAGUGAUAGAAUGAGAUGAAGAAGAUGGAAAAUGUUAAUGCGGCUGCACCAAGGCAGAAGAUCCUCAGCUGGUGAAAGAGAGUCUUGUGGCCCCACAGGAUCUGCUGUUGUGUCGUGGCCCCGGACGUGGCUGACCUUGUGCCAUCACGAGUCCUUGUAUCACACUCUGCUUCACCCACUUUCCCUCCCUCACCCCAAGAUUGGCACUGAGUGUGCUCCAUUCUCCUCCUGCCAUCGCUUCAGGCCUGUGAGUGCUCAAUGUCCCUGCAGGAGCCGACUGGAAAUGUGACUCAGAUGUGCUCAGUUCUCAGAUCGGGAACCAGAUGUGUGAUAGCGUGACACGUCUCUCUCUCUCUCUCUCUUUUUUUGACAGGCAGAGCGGACAGUGAGAGAGAGAGACAGAGAGAAAGGUCUUCCUUUGCCGUUGGUUCACCCUCCAACGGCCACCACAGCCAGCGCACCGCGCUAAUCUGAUGGCAGGAGCCAGGUGCUUCUCCUGGUCUCCCGUGUGGGUGCAGGGCCCAAGGAGUUGGGCCAUCCUCCACUGCCUUCCUGGGCCACAGCAGAGAGCUGGACUGGAAGAGGGGCAACUGGGACAGAAUCCGGGGCCCCGACCGGGACUAGAACCUGGUGUGCCAGCGCCACAGGUGGAGGAUUAGCCUAGUGAGCCGCAGCGCUGGCUCGACACUUUUCUUUUUGUUUUCUCUGUCUCACUCACCAAAAGGCAACUUAGAAGCAUAUGUAAGUAGCAACUAGUAAAAUGAAUAGGUAACUAUUUGGAUAUAAGGAAAGGCUGUAAGUAACUUAAAACCACAGCCACGGCAGCGCUCACACUCACACUCACACUCACACUAGGUAGAUUUAUGUGAACUUCUGGAGCUGAGCACAGGGAAGGAAGCACACAGCCCUCCGUUCUCACGAUGGGAGCACCAGGCAGGAGGCACACAGGUGCUCCAGGUCUCUGGCCCAGGGGUCCCAGGUCGGUGUGUGUCGGGGUGGACCUAGGUGCCCUUGCUGGAUCUGCCAGGGAGUCCUACAGUGAUGAUGUGAUUGCUUCCUCCACCAUCGGUCUGCCUGCCGUGGUGCUUAGUGCUAAGUACAAUUCUAGAACUAACCCAGCAGUAGGGAGUACACAGCCUUCGGGCGGUCUGGCUUGGUAGACAGAGAAAACUGAAGAAUGGUCGGCCUGCACCUUCAUCCAGGGAUACUCGGGUUGUUUUGCUUCCUGUCGCUGUUGAACACUGGGAGCAGAGAGUUCUGGGGUUUUCUUGGCAGGAACCAGGUAUUCAUUCCGUGCUGCCAACUAAUGGAAGCAAAUGCAUCUCCUCUCUUCAGCCUGGUGGCAGGCAGAGCCAGCCUCCUUGGUAGACAUUUAAAAUUCAAGCCAGAACCUCUGUACCUGCCUGCACAGUCACCUCCCUCCCUGCUGAGACUGCUGAUCAGCUCAAACCCAUGGACCAGUGAGUGAUUCCGGACAUCAGCCUUCUUCCCUCAGACCAGGCAGUGCUAGUGACAGUGCGUGGAGUGUAGCUGUGUAAUGUGGGUUUGCAUGGCAGAAAAUGCCCCCCUUGCAUGCAUUUUGUGCAUCUGUACCACCCGUUUCUCAGAUGAGUGCAGUGCCUUUUAAAUUGAAGACUGAUUGAUUGAUUUGAAAGGUAGAGUGGUGGGGAGGGUGAAAGAGAUCUUCCAUCUGCAGGUUCACUCCCCAGGUGGCUGCACCAGCCACAUCUGGGGCAAACUGAAGUCAGCAGCCUGGAACUCCAUCUUGGUCUUCCACAUGGGUGGCAGGGACUCAAGUCCCUGGACCGUUUUUCCACUUCCUUCCCAGGCACAUUAGCAGAAAGCUGAUUGGAAACAGAGCAGUUGGCUCCUGAACCAGUGCUCUGAGACGGGCCACCUGCAGCACAAGUGGCGGCUUAACCCACUGUGAGACAACACCAGUCCCUGCAGUUACCGAUAUUCUUGAUAAAAUCACAUUUUGUUUAAAGACACUGCCAAAGUCAUAUUGGAUUUUGUUAUCAAAUUCUCAGCCACUGACCGAACUAUCAGGGUGGCUGUCUUUGAAGGGACAAGAGGAAGGUGCAAUUCACAAGCGACUUUCAGGCAGUAGAAAGCGUUGCUUAUGGUGGAAGAAUUUGGUCACAUUGACACUGCAGUUUCAUUUUAACUUUUUUCAGGCAGGUAGAAAAAAGCAGGCAUGAAAAAAAUCUUAACAGAAACACACAGAAUACUUGAUUCUAAGCCAUGUCUGUUCUUGGUGACCCUGCUAGGAUAAAUUACUUGAAAAAAACUUCAGUUUGGAAAAAAAUGUAAUUUUUGGAAAGAAGCCAUAUGAAGUUGGCAGGCAUCUGCUGAUAAUGAUGAUUUUUGCUGUUGGUGAGGUCCAUCUGAGUCGUUCUUUCUGUCGGUGAUGAAGCAGAAGGAGAUUCCUAGUUAGUGAUGAUAAAAUGACGCUGUCGGAUUAGGGCUGAGCUCUCAUCAUUCUGCUUUCAUGGCAACUCGCAGAUUUCUUCAUCCAGAAAUGGCGUUAAGUGCUCUGUGCAUAGCUCUAGCAGGAGGGAUGGCUGAUAAAACCGAGUGGUGUGCGCCAGCCUCAGUAUCAGCCAGCGUGCACCUGAGUUUCCAAUUCUCUGAUGCAGUCAUUGCACUGGGGUGUUUGUUGGGAUGUUCGUGGUCAGGGUGUCGAGGAUUCUGUUUGGCUCCAAAGCGAGGCUGUGGACCUGAGUAGGAACUGCAAAGAGCUGACACUGGUUCAGCCGAAGCGGUGUAGGGGUGGGGUCGGACCCCGUGGAGGAGAUGAGUCACCCUCCCAGGGGCGUGCACAUGUGAGACGUGGCAGUCCUGUGCCUCGUCUGCUCUAGAGGAAACUGAGCACUGGAGAGGGAGGGGGGUGCCACUGAUACUGCCUCCCACCUUGAGUUUUUGUAGUUCUGUGAGAAGGCAGAUCUGCUGAGAGGGGAUGAUUUAUCUUACGGAGUCAUUGCCCAGAGAAUUUCCUCAACCAACCUACAUAAGUGUUGCUUCUAAGGUGGAUACAGCUUCCUAGAGUUCUGUGUGUGCACCUCUGUGAGACGACCUAGGGAGGUCAGCCUACAGUCAGAGCCUCAUUCGUUGUCAAACAAGGCACUGAGAGAGGGAAGUGGCUGAGAGGCUGUGCGUGCCUUAUAAAGUAAUAGGUCCAAUCAGUUUAGAGUCUCCGUUCCAUGAAUUUGGGGCUAACCUAUUCCUCAGUGGAUUCUGCCGUCUCUUGCCAUAAUCAUGGGGACAGAGGAGCCUGGGCCAGGCUUUACCUUGCUGGAGCUGCGGAUGCAGGCACGUGUUUGCAGGAGCAGUGUGACUGCUCACUGUGAGGCUUGGUGGAGUCUGGUGUCUUCCCCCGAGGAGGGAAGCUUUCUGUUUUAGAUGCUUGAGUAAGGGCAGGGGUGAACGCAGAUGGAUGUGGGAAACCAUCCUGCUUAGAGCACACACUGAGGGCCCAGAGGAGUCUGUGAGCCUGCUCUCACAGUGUCCAGCUGUGUGUCCAGCCGUGCAGCAUGGAGCCACAUUCACAGAUCCCGGGACACAGCCCCAGAGGUCAUGUGCUCGUAAACCCCGCACCUGACGAGCUCAAGUUGGUGGAGAGAUCUGCAGUGCAUGCCGGACCCGCUGUGCUUUACAUCACGCCGUCUCUGACAGCGAAGGACUCUGCAGCUCCCGGAUAAGGAAGGCUUGCUGCGUAGUGGGCUUAGAUUUGGUGUGCACUGAUCUAGUCUUCCUCAGAAGAGAAAGAGAAGGGGCUGUUCCUGCCUCCAGGGACACCCACAUGGAAGCCCUUGGGGGUGGGAGUCAGCAGGGAGUGGCUGUCCAGCAGAGCGUGCAGUGACGGCUGUGUGCAGAGCCGUCGUGGUGGCUGGCAUGUCCUCGGGACCCUGCUACCCUCCCUUCUCUGCUCUGCUCUGUACGUGUUCCAUUUUUCUUCAAACUCUGAUUUCCUCCUUGAGUUUGAUCUUUCGAGUGUGCUAAAUGGAAGAUCAUCCUGGUGGUGUAGACUUUCUAUCUAGUAUGAGGGAGAGAGAGAAUUGUAGUUAAGGAAGUCGAUUAUGGAUCUCUUAGCCAUUUGGCUGUUCAUUUAAGAGUUUAAUGUUAUAUAAUGAUUGCAUGGCACAUCACUAUUACUGCCCCAGGGUCCCCACACAUAUCCCCCAGCUUGGAAGAGUCCUGGCUCUCUUUAUGUGACCUGUCCAACUGAUUCUUGAAAUCUCAGUUCAUGUCGUGCUUACUCAAGGGAGCCUGUACUGAUUGACCGGAGCCUAGAUUGGGCCGUCCUCUCUUAAUAGGCUUUACUAUGCAUUCUUUCAUUUCUGAAGACUCAUUUUCCUGUUUGUCUCUUUGUCAAGGCUGUGGUUUCCUUGGGAACAGAAUGUGUACUGCUGUAUUUCCAGGGUGCAUCCUGGGCUGGACACAGAAGUAUGGAGUUAAUAGUUGUUGAAUAAAUUAUAAUUACCAUUUAUUACACACCUAUAGCGUGCCAGUACUGUCACUUCUCUUAAAAGACGUGUGGAACCUGCACAAGGACAGCACCAAGGACAGCUCUGCAUAGGGCAUACUUUUUUUGUUUUUUGUUUUUGUUUUUAAAGGGAAAGGUUUAUUGUUGGGUGGGGGAAGCCUGAUGGGUGGGGAGAGAUGAUUACGGUUAGAGAAUAAGAGAGAGGAAUCAAUGAGAGGGCACAGUUGUGAGAAACAGGUCCUGUUGUAAGUAUGGUGUUUUUACAGCAGGGAAACCGGGCUCACAUCCUAAGAAUACCACAGUCAGCAGCAUGUGAAAGGAUUGAGGAAGUGUGUACAUAUUGGGAGAAGUAUUCAUAAUUACAUGAAAAUGAUAAUUAUAAAAAAGCAAAAGAGGACACCUAAAAUGACUACUUAUGUAAACAAAGUGCUUAUGUAUAUAUCUCAGGAGUGCUUGCAUUUGCAUGUCAGCCUUCUGAAUCCAUGGCAACUUGCAAUCAUUGUCUCCAAGGAGCGGGCUGGGAGGGGAAUGAGAAACUUGAGUUUUCACUUUGGGCUCUUUGAUUGGUUGUCAUUUAUAAAUGUUUACUGUGAGCUGUGUAACUUUUUACAUAAUAAGUAAAAGAAGAAGGCCUUGCUGCAUGCCAUCCUGUGGCUGUGGUGGCCGAGGGGAUUUGAACUCUGGCCCUUGUGGCUGUGAAGUCCCAGUUGUGUUCAGGGCUCCUUUUCUGCGUCUGGCAUGGUGGUUCUCACAUCGGAGGUUGUGCCCCCAGGAUGCCUGGCAAUGUCUGUAAGUGGUUUGGGUGGUCACAACUUUGUCAUGCUGGCGUACACCCCCAGCACACGGGGCAGGCACACCAGAAGCACCCAGCUCUCGUGCAGGAGUGCCGAGGCUGUGGAGCCUGCUGUGGGCUGGCAGCCAGUCCCCCUCAUCACAAGCCCUGGCUCUGUGAUGAGACCUGGGUGUGGCUGGUGCCCACUCCAGCCCCAAAGAGAUCAUCAGCCAUGAAGUUGUGGGAUGUAAGCCCGGCCGAGGAGCGAGGGGCCCAGAGCAGCUGUAGGCUGGACAUUUCGCUGCCCGAUGGACAUGGCAGAAGUGGAAUCAUGUGUUGACCUUACCCCGAUGAAAGCUUGGCAAAGAGAGGCUGAGACUGAAACUAGUUGGGCCGCUGGGGAAGUGAUGACUGAGAGAGAGUUCUGUGAGGGUGCAGGGUGGGCGGGAGCUCCCCUGUGGCUUUGCAUCACCGGCUGAAGACCUGAGCUUCCUCUGGAGUGUGGUGGAGUCUGAGCUGUGUUCCCAUCGUCCCCUUGUCUGACCACGUAGCAGCUCCUUCACUGCCUGGAAGCAGCUGUCAUUUUGGCUAGUGCUGCAGGCACAAGCAGAACGCAGUCCUGGCCCAGUCGCUUUCUGAUGACUCCCUGGUGACUUAGAGGACCCCUCCCCAAGCUGCAGGGCUGCAUGGUGGGUGCUCUGCGGGGUCCCUGAGCCUCAGCCAUGGUGUGUCCCAGGGAGGGUUCUAUGAAACCAUUUCAUUUGGCCGUUCUGCUUCACAGAGGGGAAACUGAGGCCAGAGAGGAGCUCUCCCUUGGCCAGAACCUCUGCAGCUGGUCCGCCCAAUGCAGACUCAUCCUCAGCCCCUGGCCCCAGCCCUGUGGCCAGCCCCUUCCAGGCUGCAGUGGGGAGAAGAGAGGGUUGUUGUCCUUGUGUGUGGGCUGGAGAAGGUUGUCACGUGUGCCUGCAGUGUUCCUUUGUCCCUCCCUCCCCGUCUGUCUUGAGCGUGGUCAAUGCCUCUCUUCAUCCUUCAGACAGCUUUGCAGAUUCUUUCCCACAUGAACCCCAGCUUUGAGUUUCUCUCCCAUGUAGGGCUGUGGACCUCCAAGUUCAGCCAUUGCUGGGGCCCCAGGGUGUGUGUUACAGUGCUGAUCCAGGGCUCACUCCCUUCACAGUGAUGAGGUUCAGAGGGUCUAGGAGGGGCUUCCCUGUUAAGUGGUGUAAGGACUCACCUUGAGCACCGGUGUGGCGGGCAUUCCACAAAAGUGACUCGGAACAGCAGCCAGAAACCUACUCUGUGUCUUUCAGCUUGUUCUUAGCAUCUCGCUUCCAGUCUCCAUGUGCCCCAGUCAAAUGGUAUGCAAGGUUGCUUGAAGAGUUUUAGAAUGUGUGCAGCAGAAUAAGAUCCAGGGUGGUGGGUGGGAGUGGCUGUUCAUGGCAGGCUCCAGGUAUGGGAUUCCCUUAAGUCACAUUGUCCUUCAGGAGCUUCCCAGGGCUGAUAGAUUUUGAGUCAAGCACUACAAAGUGAGUAGCUGAGUUGGAGAUGAGAGAGGCAGUGAAAUGCAGAGGUAGAAGGGAAGGCUGUGGAAGCUUUGCACCGGGUAAGAUGUGUUCUAUUUGAUUGCAGGAGGAAGAACAGAUCAUAGUGAGUAUAGUCUCAGGUCAACUUGAGUUUGAUGUAAGGAAUAGUUCACAUCAAAUGGCAUUAGUAGUAGACUCCGGGGAAUUUGCUGGUCACUUUACAGAGAUUGUCUCUGAGGUUUGUGGUAUUGCUGUCUGUCCUUACUGUUACCCCACUUAAUAGAUGAUGGAACUCAUAGCUGAUGUAAUUAAACAGCUCACUACAUUUACCUAGUGAUGAAGUGGGUAGAGAGAACUCAAAUAUUGAUCAGGUUCACCUUGAAUCCUGAAGUGUGUCCACUCUACUGUUUCUUGUCAGUAAUGACGGUUGUCGGUAAUGAUGGAAUGAGCUGCCUGGAAGGUGGUGGAGCGUGGGGAAGCAGCAGGAGGAAUUUUUCCUGAAGGUGCUGCUGUUCCUGUUGAUCGGCACCACUGGCUAUCAUACGUGUGCAUGCGUGAUUUGGAGAAGCUGGGACAUUAAACAUUAACACGGCUUCAUUACUGCUGGACUUCUGAGAGUCUUUCAUGUGCCAGCAUAGGUUGUGUUCUUCAAAGACAGGCGAUGUAUACAGUGAUUCCCAAACUUACCUGAUCAUGGAUUCCCUCCUUAAUGAAUAUCUUCAGGUAGGUUAGGCUCCUUAGAAGACAUUUUUACAAAGGCACCUGUGAGAGAACAUGUGUUCAUUGGGCCGCAUGCUGGCCUGUUUUCUUUGCCUGUAAUGGGAGAUCUGGGGCCGGUGACUUAUAAAGAAAAGAUACUUAUUUUGCCUCACAUUUCUGGAGGCUGGAAAGUCCUGCGUUGGGUGGGCGUGUGUGGUGAGUGCCUCAUCAGCAUCUGCUCAUGCAUGCAGGUAUGUGUGUAAGAGAGGAGAGGGGGCAGACUCUCUGUGUGGCCAGCCCUUUCCACAAAAGAGCAUUUGUUUGUGACCCAAACUUCUCCCAGCCCUGCUGCAUUUGGAAUGAAGCCUUAACUGGAGUUUGGAUGGAGAACAACUCUAUUCAAACCAGAGGUGUCUGACCUCAGGUCCCCCAGCUGCCACAUGUCUCCGUGAUCCCAGCUCUACAACCAACAAGACAUGCUGACGGAGGGGCACCUUCAUCCAGCACGCACUGGUGCUUUUCUCCCCCAGGUUCUUUUAUUUAUUAUUUAUUUUGCUUAAUAUUUGUUUAUUUGAAAGACUGACGGAGACAGAGAGAGAAAGAAAAGAGAUCUUCCAUCUGCAGCCUGAUCCAGAAACUCAGAACCCCAUCAGGGUCUCCCAUGUGGGUGGCAGGAUAACAAAUACUUGUGUUGUCACUUGUUGCCUCUCAGGAGCACUAACCAAAAGCUAAUUCAGAAAUAGAGUAGCCAGGGUUCGAACCAGCAUUGCUAUAUGGGAUGCUGGUGUCCCAAGCACGGCUUGACCCACUGCGCCAUGAUGUCUGCCCCCUCUUCCAAGUUAUAGAUGCUUUGUACUACCCUCAGUUUUGCGUUCAUUGUUAAGGGAAAAUUUUGAAUAUUGAAUUAAUUUCCUUUUCACCUUGUGUUGUAACUAUUGAUUUGAACCAACAAUUGGUAUAAUGCUCAUUUGAAAUAUAAUUAUUUCUUAUAAAUGUUAUAUGAGUCUUGAGAAUGGCCUUGCAGAGCCAGGAAGUGAAGCAAAGAUGCUCUUAUAUCCAUGUGUUGUUUCCAUUUCUGAACCAAUUAUUUUUCUAAAAUUGCUUUUUAGGUUGGCUAUUAAGUUGGAAAGAGCAUUGAUUUUUGGCAUCAAGGAGACUCCUAAUGAAACAUGAUGUGUUUACUGUUAAUUACGUUAGCUCUCACCUGGCAGUUUAAUAGCAGUAUUUAUUUUUGACUUAGAGUGGGAUGAGUGGUCAUGUUCAUUAAUAACCUCGUUCAUUUUGUGGGGUUUGGGAGAGAGAAUUAUGAUCUCUUUAUUGAAAUCCUUGAAGAAGGGGUAGGGAUUCUGUGCACCAGUUAAGAAGCUGCUUAGAAUGCCUGUAUCAUGUAUCAGAGUGCCUGGGUUCAAGUCCUGGCUCUGCUUCCAGUUCUAGCUUUUUGCUAAUGUGCACCUGCGAGAUAGCAGGUAAUGGCUCAAGUACUUGGGUCCCUGCCAGUCAAUUGUAUUAGACCCUGGUGGAGUUCUCUGCUCCUGGCCUCAUCCUGGCUCCAUCUUGGCUGUUGUAGGCAUUGAGGGUGCAAAGUGGCAGAUGGAAGAUCUGUCUCUGUGCCUUUCAAAUAAAAAUGAAAAUAAACAAUAACAAUUUAAAUCCUUAGAGGAUUUUUCUUUAUUACUCAGAGUUUAAAACCAUACCUUUAAAAACUUGACCCUUUCCUACAAGCUAGUUUCUCUAAUUGAUGUGAACUUUGUCCAGGACAAUGGUCAGUGAUAGAAUGAGUAUUUAAAAAAUAAUAUGCAAAGGGCUUUAAGAGAGUCUGACUUCCCCACUCUGCAGGAGGCUUGGUCUUUAGCUCCCGUGUUGGAGGGCACUAGUCCAAGGUGACAGAAGUAACAUGGCAGAGAGCAGCUGGUGGGGACAAGGCUGCCCAAGUGCCAGCAGGGGCACAGAGCCUUGCCCAGUGGAGUGCUUUGCAGUCCUAAUGGCAGGUCUGGUGGCUCCAGUUCCUUUCCUGUGGGUGUGAGCACCUUCACUGAGGGUGGGACAAAGCCUUGGUGACCAGCAGCAGGUGGGCCCCUGUCCCUUCUCCUGCCUCCAUGUUCAGGGCUGGUCACUGCAUUUGUUUAGUUCUUCUCUUGCAAGUCAGUGUUUGCAUUUUGGUGCUAAGGUUUUUUGGAAGCAUCUAAGAUUCAGCCCCAUUUUCAUGCAGAUUUUUUUCAGAAAUCUCAAAGAAUUUUUUUUUUCAAAUUCAAACACAUUUUUCAAAUGCUUUUUUCCUCCCAAGUCCUUCAUUGUGAAAAUCACACAUUGGAAGCCAGGGGCUCCCGGUUACCUGAAGGGCAGCGUGCUUCCUGGUGCAGUCUCUCCAGUUUCAGCUUAAGGCUGCAUUUUGUACACGUUGGACUUCGGGGGUUUUGUUUUUGUAGGCCCUGUGCUGCAAGCAGACUCUCCAACUCCCCAGUCUUGUGCUUUCGCGUACCUGUAUUGAACGCAAUAUAGUCUCUUUAUAGGCAACAUGUUAUUUUUAUAUGCCUUACUUUAUUACACAUGAAAUGAAACCAUCUCUGACAUUUUCUAUACUCACUGAAUUUUUAUUAGAGUUAUAUCUUUCAUCAAUAAUAACACAAGCUACAACACCUUUCUCUGGAAUAUUUACUGAGAUUGCUGCCGCUGUUGGGACAGAGUGCUGUUGCCACCUUAUUAGAAAGAGUUUCAUCCUCAUUGCUUUUAUCUCGUUAGAUAAUCCUUUAAUCCCUGUUCAUUGCCCGUGGAUUCUGCCUCUCCUUGCCAGUGCUGUUAACACAAACCCGCAGCACAGCGUGGUGGGUGAGGCCGGACUUCGAGUUUCCCAGAGUUGCAGCAUCAGUCAUUCGUUCUGGCGGCUGUGGUGACUAGCACUGGAGGUCUCGUGCCUCAGGCCAGCCGUGUUCGUUCAUAAUAAGGGAUUUAGCAGAUACGUAUGCAAGCGGAAAAUUGAAUCAGUAGUGCUGUCACAUUACAGGAUUCCUGCAAAAAUGGAAGAGUCGAAUUGGGCAGAACUCUGUCUUCUGUGGGUUAGUGCAGGUAGCACAGGGAGCUAGGAAGUUUUCUACAUGAAUAAGCCUUUCAUUAUCAUACAGGUUUCGAGCCAGUUUGUUCUGGUGGGUGCCCACGUAGGAAUGUGGCAGUCAGGUACAAAUAGGUACCCUUUUUCCUACUGAUUUUAGAAAUCACCUUCUUGUUGAUGUCUUUUAGGAAAAUGAGAGUGAAAACACAGGAAAAUAGAAUGGCAGUAGUGCCGAAUUUAAAGUAUAAGAUGCUGGCCUGCCUUUGACGUUCGGGUGCAUUUCACCGCGAUUUUAACAGAUUAUAAAGGAAGUGGCUGUGGUGUGGGGCCUGCACACAUACACCUCCCUGUGCUUCCUCCCAGGAGCAAGUUGUUGUGAAAAAUGGAACGUGGGGCUCCAGACAGAGCCCUGGGCUCCCCCAGGGACACAGUUGUAGGUGUAAUGAAGAACCUCCCGGAGGGUUUGGAAGAGUUUCUGAGAAAUCAUACCGCAGAAGGUGAUCACAUUCCUCUAUCUUUUCUUUGUUUAUUGGAAACAGUUCUCAAGUAGGCAAUGCAUUCUGUUCAGAAAGGAAACUAACUAGGAAAGCAUAGAGUAAAAGGUCUCCUUGUGCCCAAUUUUCCCACUUUGUAACCACUGUUAUUAGUUUCUAGUGCCUCUCUCCAGAGAUAUUACAAUGCAUACAUUACCAUGUGUGUGCGAAUUCUUCUUUUCCUUUUUUUUGUUUUGAGAUGUAAAGCGUAUUAUGCACAAUGUUUCCCGCCACGCUUUUUGCAGGUAAUGAUCGAUCUUGGAGAUAUUUCCAUAUUCAUGCGUAGAUAUUCUUGGCUUUUCCUCUACAGCAGUCUGGCAUUUCAGUGUACAAGUGGACUGUGAUUUGUUUAGCCUGUCCCCUAUUGAUUGACAUUGGGGUUGCGAUGAAUAACCACACAUUCAUCACCUCCCAGGUUACCUGCUAGUGCUUCAACAUGCUGGCUUCCCCACAGAGAAGUUCAAGUGCAUUUGUCAUUUUGAUGAUUAUUGGCACAUGCCCCCACUCUCCUCUUUAUGGACAGUAUUUGGAAAUAGCUGGUUUGAAACAGCCUUGCUGGCUAUGUAUCUCUUCAUGUUCUCUGCCUGUUUUCCUGGUGGGUCCUUGGUCUUGCUAAUCUCUAGAAACUCUUUACGUAUAAUCUGAAUGGAAAAUAGAAAUUCCGAGGAGUGGUGUUUGUCUUUAGCUUGUGGUAUACAGCCAUGCCAAAGUUUUAUUUUCGUAUGUUCAUAUUUAUUAAAUGAACUUUUUAUGAUUCUAGAUUUUUCAGGUAUGAAUUAAAAGGUUUCAUCUCCUACAAGAUUGAAAGGAAUUUUCCAUUUUUUUCUGCCAUGAUUUUCGUAUAACUUGAAAUUUAUUCUGGUAUCUGUUGUAGAAUGUAGACCAAUCUUUUUCUGGAGAUGCUAUCUCUUUGUCUUUGCUUCAGUAGAGGAAUAUAAAAUUUUUUGAAAUACCACUUUUACUAUACAUUAAAUUCUGAUUGACAUUUGGAUUGAUUUCUGAACAUUGUGUUCUUACGCAUUUGUUUUCUUGUGGUCAUAUUCCAAUAUUUUCAUAAUAUUUAUGCUGUAAUAUGUUAUGGUCUCUGGCAAAGCUGAUAUUUUUACAUAUUUGUUUUUUAAAUUUGUUUACAGAUAAACUUACAUAAUCUGCAAGGUAAAAAACAGUUUUUCUUAGGAGAACAUUAUGCUUAUAAAUUAUUUUAAGAAGAAUCAACAUAGCUGUGUUUGUCUUCUUAUGCAAGAACAUGAUAUAUCUUCUAAUCCGGUCAAACUUUCUUUUGCAUCCUUCAAAGUGGAUUGAAAAUUUUCUUUUAAUGAUUUUUUUUAUUGGAGAGGGAGAUCGACCAUGAGGUACCAUGAAAUCGUACCUGCUGUUUCCCUCUGCAGAUGCCAGCAGCAGUUGGAGGACUAAAGCUGGGAGCUCCCACGAAGGUGACAGGAGCUCAGUUACUUGAGUGGUACCCCUGCCUUCCCGGGACCCAUAGUAGCAGGAACCUUGGGACUGGGAAUUGGACACAGGGACUCUGAUGUAGGAUGCAGGCAUCCUAACGACUGGGACAAAUGCCCACCCAUAACUCUUCUUCUUAGGAGUCUUGCACAUUUUUGUUCAGUCAGUUUCAUGGUACCUUCAUGUGUAUUGUAUUUUGUGAAAUUUUCUUUUAGCAUAAGUUUGCUAAUUAUGCAAUUCUGUACAUAAGGAAGACAGGAACAUUUGCUACAUAGCUUUGUAUUUUGUCAGUUUUCUCAAUUAUCUCUUGGCUUAUGGUUGUUUUUCCAAAUGAUUCUUUAAGGGCAUUAUAAAUAUACAGGCAACUUGUUUUUCCAUAGUCGUGGUUUUGUCUGCUCUGGGAAUUGUUAAGCCUCUUGAGGCCUUCCCUGUCCCCUUGUACAGAGAGGAAUAGUAGUGGUGAUGGUGAGCUCCCUGGUUUUGCUCCUGGUUCCUGUUGGCAUGUUAAAGGCAACAGCACUUGCUCUGUACGCACAGCACUUCUGUGUGAGAUUUUUGUACAUGGGAUGGUUCUUCAGUUGUCCGUGGAUGCCAGUGAGAUGCCCUGGAGUUCAAGUCAGCUCUGACACUGUCUUGCCUGAGCUAGUGCUACAAGACUGCCCCGACUCGGGUCUCGCCUGUGAGUCCUCCAUUGCUGCUGCCCUUCAGCCGCCUGGCUGCACAGUCGGCGGCUCCUGUAGCCCCCUCCUCACGCUCCACAAUUUGCUAGGCUGGGGCUCAGAACGUGGAAUCCCUGCUGGUUACUACAAAGGAUACUGAAAAAGACGCAAAUGCAUAGCCAGGUGGAGGCACAAAGGGCAAGAUCUGGAAUGGUCCCGAGCUCCAUGGGUGUGCAGCAUCCUCCUGGGAUUUGGAGAAAAAUCAUCAACCCAGAAGCCCAUCAGACCUCUUGAUGUAGGGUUUCCUUAGUGGCUGCGUUAGGGAGGCACGAUUGAAUGAAUGAGUUACAUGGGUGCAGCUACUCUCCCCUCCUGGAAGCUGGUGUGAGGUGAGGCUGAAGGUUGUGAGCCUCUCGUCACAUUGCUGGCCUCCAGGCGUCACCUGUCCAGCCCAGUCCUGCCGAAGCUAGAAUUCGGAGGAUGAGGCCCAGGGCCUUGUGUCUGUGAGCCCUCCAGGGGAUCCUGACUUCCCCGAGGUUUGAGAACCACUGCCUAAGGAACCACCCCUCUGCCUCCCUUCGCAGUCCGAGUCUUCAGAGUUGUUAACUUGUUGACUCCCUGAGCAAGAACAAGCACACUGUACUUUAUCAGUUUACCUUCCAGAAGUCAAGGCUGACCGUUUGUUGACACCAUAUGACUCUCUGACCUGGAGAGGGGUUUGCUGAAUCUCUCUCCCUGGGAGACGUGUGAGGGUUCAAGCUCUGUGGUGAAACGGCAGAACCACGUACUCAGAGGUCAGUCCAGGCAGAGGCCUUAGGCCAACCAGGUAGACUUCAUUUUAAGAGAGAGAACAGUUCAGAUAUGCUCAUUUUCCAUGCAUGGCCUCUGGGUGGAAAGCACCUGCUGGGGCCCAGUGGAUGACGGGAUUGGAUGGGUACAGACCCAGAAUCUGCAACCCUCUGCCUCCCACGCGUGCACCUGCCAUGUUUGUUGCCUGCAUGGAAUGAGCAGAUGCUAGGAGGAAGGCAAGUGGUGCUGGCCUGCCUGCUGACCUCAUCUUCCACACAAUGCCACCGAACAGAGCAAAUUAAUGAUCAUUCACUUAACCUGAAAGACUCAACCUAAUUAAUGAUUUUCAUGCAAUUUCCCGUUGUUUGCCCUUCCUUUCUGAAUGUAGAAUGCGUGUCAGUGGCAUCACUGAUUUACAAAAGGCAGUCUGCCUGCUGAGUAAUUGGGAAAGGCACUCCCCAGGGCAACACGGCUGUGAGCUGGAGCAACGCUAAAGUGGUUGUCGAUAAGGGGCCCGUCAUCCCUGCAAUGGUUCUCACCCCCAGGGUAAUUAGAUCAGAAUGGCGCUGCUCUGGGGCUGUGAGGACCCUGUGGGUUCACCAGUGUUGUUGACACCAGUGCUUCAUCGUACUCAGGAACCUUGUCAGGGUCUGGGGGUUCCCAGGCCUCGCUCGGUAGGUGCUGCCCUGGUGUGCCUGUGUGUGAGGCUGGCAGGGGACUGAUGUGAUAAAUGAGCCACUUGCAGCGUGUGUGAGCUGACUCUAAAGCACGACCUCCCCCCAUCCAGGUCAGGGCUUUUACAACACUCCCUGUCUCUGCCUCUCUGCCUAGGGGCCUGAGGGCUGGAGACUAGAUUGGGGCGCAUCCCAGGGAAACCCGCACACGGGCCGUCUGCACACAGCCUGCCUCUCACAUUGGUAGGGCUUGUAGCACAGGAGCGAGCACAGACUUGUGUCUCAGUAACUAAGUGGCAAACCUUGUGUCUAAGUGAUGACCCAAGCUAACCCACAAGUCGCCUGUAACAUGUGCUCUGUCCUCCUGUCUUGGUGUGUUGACCUCCGUGAUGACCUGAGAUGUGGCAGCAUGGAGGGAGCUCCCCUGGGCUCCUUGUUAAUGUUGGGGUGGCUGUGUGUGUGUGCAGGUCAGCAGUCUGCUCAUUCAAGUCCUGAUCGUAAGUCCCUCUCCUGGCUCGAGGCUGCUCCUUGGGCCCAGACCACUUUGAAAGAGCACACCCGCAGAAGAGACCCAAACAGAUUUAGGAUUCGGGCAGGAAAUCGUUGGGUGCCAGGAGCCAAGGACAUGGUCUAGACACAAAGCAUAAACUCUGGUUUGGCAGGGCUUUGAGGAAAGCCGGGUGAGGACUAGAGCAGGGGCUCCCUCUGCCUGUGUCUCAGGAGGUACUGGACUCAUGGAACGUUAGUGUGGUUUCAUGCACCUGGGGCCUCUGUCAGAGGGAGGGCUUUCAGUCCAUCCUAAGGAUCCAUGUGUACACCCUUGCAUGGACGUUAAUGAAACCGCUGUGUGGGCUGACGGCUACACCUACAUAUCACACCUUAGGCACGCUCACACUUGCAGCAGGUGUGUCCACUCUGCUGUUACAUAAAAGUUGACACUCUGUUUUCACCUCUCUGUCAUGCUGUGCCCCCUCCUGACUGCUGUCACAAAUCUUACACCAGCAGGCAUCUUGCUGCAGACACGUGUGUCUGGUAGCCUUGCUCGCCUGUGUGUACCUGUGCUGCUGUCUGCCACACUCAGUUCCCCAGCCAGCCACGCUUACUCCACCUGGCACGUUUUGCUUGUCAUCAGUUGGGAUCAUUGAUGCUCCAGGAUCCAGGUUAAAUCCAGUGGCUGAAAUAAGGCUUGGGAGUUUGGGGUACAGUGAUGCUACUGGGGUUCUACUUAGACUCAUCGGCUGAUAAUGAAAAUGUAUGGUAUUGCAUUUGCUAAUGAUGUAGGCAGCCUGCACACAAACACCCUGACACCUGCCGGGCCUCUGUAGGUAACGCAGUCCCCCGGAAGGUUGACACUUGGCCAUGGCUGCAUGUUUCAGGAGCGGCAUUCAGAAUUCCUUCAUCGUCUUACAUCAGGGAAGACAAUGUGAUGCUGCAUCUUGCUGGGAGCCUCAACUCAGCUGUCCCAUGACUCAGCCCCUUACUCUGAUCUCGAGGUCUGCGGGUCUCAGCCUCAGAAGGCAGCAGACACACACUGCUCCUGUUGUCACUUCAGUUAGCAGUCCUAUCUCUGGGAUGGCAAAGAUGUGUGUACUCAGAUACUUCUAGGUGAGGGGUAGUGUGUGUGCAGUGAGACACUCCCAGGUCAGGGCAGUUUGUGUGCAGUGAGACACUCCCAGGUCAGGUGUGUGUGUGUGUGUGUGUGUGUGUGUGUGUGGUGAGAUACUCCCAGGUCAGGUGUGUAGGUGUGUGUGUGUGUGCAUUGAGACACUCCCAGGUCAGGUGUGUGUGUGUGUGCAUUGAGACACUCCCAGGUCAGGUGUGUAGGUGUGUGUGUGUGUGCAGUGAGACACUCCCAGGUCAGGGCAGUGUGUGUAUAGUGAGACACUCCCAGGUCAGGGCAGUGUGUAUGUGCAGUGAGACACUCCCAGGUCAGGUGUGUGUGUGUGCAGUGAGACACUCCCAGGUCAGGUGUGUGUGUGUGUGUGCAGUGAGACACCCAGGUCAGGUGUGUGUGUGUAUAGUGAGACACUCCCAGGUCAGGGCAGUGUGUGUAGUGAGGCACUCCCAGGUCAGGUGUGUGUGUGUGUGUGUGUGUGUGUGGUGAGAUACUCCCAGGUCAGGUAUGUAGGUGUGUGUGUGUGUGUGUGCAUUGAGACACUCCCAGGUCAGGUGUGUGUGUGUGUGUGUGUGUGCAGUGAGACACUCCCAGGUCAGGUGUGUGUGUGUGUGUGUGUGUGUGUGUAUGUAUGUGUAUGUGCAGUGAGACACUCUCUGGUCAGGGCAGUGUGUGUAGUGAGACACCCAGGUCAGGUGUGUGUGUGUGCAAGGAGACACUCCCAGGUCAGGGCAGUGUGUAUGUAGUGAGACACUCCCAGGUCAGGUGUGUGUGUGUGUGUGUGCAGUGAGACACUCCCAGGUCAGGGGUGUGUGUGUGUGUAGUGAGACACUCCCAGGUCAUGUGAGUGUGUGUGUGUGUGUGUGCAGUGAGACACCCAGGUCAUGGCAGUGUGUGUAUAGUGAGACACUCCAGGUCAGGGCAGUAUAUGCAGUGAGACAGUGACUAGAUACAGCAUUUGCCACCAACAGCCUAGCCACAGAAAGCAGCUCAGGUAGGUUCAGCCCUGGCCUGAAGGUGCCGGGUGAACCCAGCACCUGGGCUGCACUCACACUUGUUGCUGGGCCUGAGAAUUCUUUCCUGCACUGAGAGUUGCCGCAGGGGUCCAGACUGAGCAAUCUCAACGUGAGACUCCUUCCCCAGCCCAGAGCCCCCUGGCGAGGGCAUCCACUGCAGCAGUCACUCAGGGAUGUGUUUUCAUCCCAGGGUCCGAGGCUCCGCUUCCCAGCCAAGUGACCCCAGUGGCCUGGCCUGUGGGAACCCUCUGCCUUGAAUUUCUGAACUCACCCAUUACCCAGCAGCAUGGUGGGAACUGCACCCACUGCUGGCAGGUGAGAAAAAGAAGUCAAAGGUAUUGGAAGGGAGGAAACAGAGCAGUGCGUAUUUGCAGAUAAUGUGGCUGUCUGGGUAGCAAUGUCUAAGAAGCACUGAUCAAGGAAAAGAUAAAAGCCCCCUAGACCUAGGAAGUGAGCACAGUGAGGGUGCAAGGUCAGCUCACAGAAGUCGGUAAUGUACAAGGGAUCCUCCUUGGGUACAUGGAAAAUAUGUAUUAUGAAAAAUCAUGCAUGGAUUUCAGAUGUUUUUGUACCAAAAUGCAAUUUUAUUUGUGCUUUUCCUUGAACUUUAUGAAGUGUUCUCAUGUCUGCAUACUGGUGAUAAGCUAUAAUGAAAAAUAUGAUUUAUUAUUAAAAAGCAUAUGGUAUUCAGAUAUGUACUUAAGACAUAUACAAGAAAACACCGAUGAAGUAAUCAAGACCUAAAUAAAUUGGAAGACAUAUUUUAUUCAUGGAUUGGGAGGCUCAAAGAUACCCAUUGUCUCCAAAUGAUAUACGAAGUAAAGAAAUUUCUCACAAAAAUCCCCCCAAGUUUUUUUGUAGACACAGAUAAGGUUUUCUAAGAUUGAUGUGGACAGACCUAGAUCCUGGAAUAGCCGAAGUGAUCUUGACAAGGAAGAAUAAAGCAGGAGGAAUGAGCGCCCCGUGUCACAGCUUACCAUAGCUGCAGUAAUGAAGGCGCUCUGUUACUCACAGAGGCAUAGACACAUGGAUCAAUGGGACAGAAUAGAGAACCCAUAAAUAGAGCUGGAUAAAUAUGCUCAAUUGAUUUUUGACGAAGGUGCAAAAGCAAUUCCAAGGAGGAAAGAGAGCCUUUUCAACAAGAGCAGUUGGGUAUCCAAAGCCAAAACUAUGAGCCUCAACCUGAACCUCAGGCCUUGUACAAAAAUUCACUCAAAAUGGAUCGAGAGGUGCAAUGCCAGAUGUAUAACCAUGAAACUUUUCUGGAAGGAGAAAAUAUCUCCGGGGUUUAGGGCUAGACAAAGAACUCAGGCUUGACAACAGAAGGAAAAUUUGACAAAAUAGGAUGUCAUCCAAAUGAAAAAGAAAAGCAUGCGGCCUGUGGCAGGCGCUGUUAAGGAGAUGAAACACUGGGAAAGAUGCGCAGUCCCCAUUUCUAAGAACACUUAAAACUCACAAGUGAAGGCAACAAACCCAUUUGAAAUGGGUGAAUGAUAGGGAGAGAUGUUUCACCAUAGAGGAGACUCGAUGACAAAUGAGCAGCUGAGAUAGGGUUCGGAAGUCAUCAGGCACAGGGAAACGCAAGUGAAGAUUUACAAAUGAGGUAUCACGAUCUCCUAUCAGAACGUAAAGUGAAAAAUGGUGGCAGCUCCCAGAGCUGGCGAGGCUGUGGAGGGAGCUCUCAAGCUUCGGCAGUGCAGAUGUGAAGUGGCACAGUCACUCUGGAAUGCAGGGCCACACAGCCCAGUGAUUGCCGUCUUGGGCCCUGGUCCCAGAGAAACAGAAACUUGGUUUGCACACAACCCCGCGUGCAGUGUUUGCAGCAGCUCUACUUGUAAUAGCUAAGCAGUCCUUCAGUGGACGGCGGUUAAGCUGUGGUGCAUCCGUGCCACGGAGUAGUACUCUGCAGUGAUAAAAGAACGUGCUGUGGAUACACGCACCCCCGUGUCCUCCACAAUCCCUGGGGAAUUCUGCUGUGUUAACAAAUCCCCAGAUUGCCUUCUGUUUAGUUCCAUGUACGUUUGAAAUGCCAAAGUCUUGGAAACAGCGAGGAGUUGAGAAGGUGCUGGGGGUUAGGGAUGGUUGUGGGGCAAGAAAGGCAAGGUCAGAAGGGAGAGGGGUGUGGCUAUGAAAGGGCAACACCAGGGAUCCUUGUGGUGAUGGAGAUGGGAAACGCUACAUGAGAUGAAGUUCUCUGGAGCUACACACACACACACACACACACACACACACAAGUAAAACUGGGGAAACCUGAAUAAAAUUGGUAGGUUGUAUCAGUGUCAACUUUCUGAUUGUAAGAUUGUACUACAGUUCUGUAAGAUGUUACUUCUAGGGGAGGCUGGGUAAAGAUAUAUGGACUAUCUCUACAUUAUUUCCUUUUUAAAAAAGUUUUUUUAUUUAUAUAAGGGGAAUGAAUUUCCUGUAUUUCAUGUAUAGUUAUUAAGAACAUAAUGAUACUUCCCACGUUACCCUCUCUCUCUCUCUCUCUCUCUCUCUCUCUCUCUUUCUCUCUUUCUUUCUUUCUUUCUUUCUUUCUUUCAGAGGCAGAGUUAGAGAGAGAGAGAGACAGAGAGAAAGGACUUCCUUUUCCGUUGGUUCACCCCUCAAAUGGCCAGUGCGCUGUGCCAAUCAGGAGCCAGGCGCUUCCCCCUGGUCUCCCAUGCGGGUGCAGGGCCCAAGCACCUGGGCCAUCCUCCACUGCCUUCCCGGGGCCACAGCAGAGAGCUGGACUGGAAGAGGAGCUACUGGGACAGAAUCUGCGUGCCAGCCAGGACUAGAACCCCGGGGUGCCAGCGCUGCAGGCGGAGGAUUAGCCUAGUGAGCCAUGGCGCUGGCCCCUCCCUCCUUUCUUAUUUUUCUUUUAAUUUUUGCAAAGACACACUCUGAGUUUACUUAAUAAUCACAAGCUUAAUCCUCCACUAAGCUAAACAAUUCAACAGGUAGCAAGUAGAAAAACCACUGUGCCUCUGUAAUAUAGACAAGGGCUAUAAAUAAUCUCAAAAUGUCAGUUUCAUUCCUUUCUUAAAACUGCAUGCAAGUCUAUUAUGAUCUCAGAAAGUUCAGUGGGAUCCUGUAUAGUGUAUUUUCAAAGUAUUAAUCAGAUCCUACAUUGAAAUUUUCAGAAAAGUACAUAAAGACAAAGCAACAUAGCAUAUAAAACUAUUGUUUGCAAAGUUGAUAGACUAACAGAAGAUGGCUUCAUAUGUGUCAGUAUAUUAGAUGAUUCCAUAUAUAUAUAUUUUUUUUUAAUUUAUAGAAGAGUCAGAGUACUCAAAUCUGUUGGUGCACUCCCCAUGUGAAGCAGUCAGGAGUAGGCUGGGUUGAAUCCAGAGCUCCCAAGUGCAUGGCAGGGAUUCAGCUACUUAGGCCAGCGUCUCUGCCUCCCGGGGUCUGCAUUAGCUGGCAGCUGGAAAUAGGAGCUGGGCUAAGAAUCCAGUGAGGGCAUUCAGAUGUGAGGUAUAGGUGAAUUAACCAGCAUCUUAACUACUAGGACAAGUAUCUCCACCAUGAUGCUAUGCAUUUUUGAAAUGAAAAACAAAGCUUUAGUUUUCUGACAGAAGUCCAAAAGUUGGGGCUGGCAUUGUAGUAUAACAGGUUAAGCUACUGCCUGUGAUGAUGGCAGCCCACAUGGGCGCCAGUUGGAGCGCUGGCUGCUCCGCUUCAGAUCCAGUUCUGUGCUAAUGGCCUGGGAAAGUAGUGGAAGAUGGCCCAAGUAUUUGGGCCCCUGUACCCUUGUGGGAGACAUGGAAGAAGCUCCUGGCUCCUGGUUUCAGCCUGGCCCAGUCCUGGCCAUUGCAUCCAUUUGGGGGAGUGAACCAGUGGAUAGGUCUCUCUCUAUCUCUCCCUCCCUCCCUCUCUCUGUAAUGCUGCCUUUCCAAUAAAUAAAAUAAAUCUUAAAGAAGUACAAAGGUUAUAGAGGUAUCUACAAUUUUCAAAUAAACCCAGAGAAUAAAAACAUUAACUGAGCAUUUGCCUUUUGAAAGACAGCUCAGGCUGUGGUGUUGCUUUCUUUUGCCUCCAUGUGUUCCUUGUAUCAUUUAACUUUCAGGCUGGUGGAAUGACAGUUUCUUCUCAGGGAGAAUCCCCCCACCCAAGCCCUUGGGUGUGAUGUUUCUAUGAUGGGAGUGAGCCUGUCUGUACAGGUGUGCUUUUGGUUUGAGAUGAGGUUCUUGCACAGAAUUUAACAAGUUAGUGCUCAACAGGCUAUAACGCUUCAGGCUUCCUCUAUGCCUCGACAGUCCUGAUUUGAAAUUUCAGGUGUUGCCAAGAGAUAUUUGUAGAUAAAUAUAUAGAUGUCUCUGGAUCCAGAUUAUCCAAUCCUGUCUUUGGAUAGCUCAUUCAUUUUCUUACAAAGACUUCUCUCUUCCUUCUCAAGAGUAGAGCAGUAGAAAGUCCUGUAUGCCUUUCCUUCAAGACCAAACUGUUCCUCUUGCUUGUUUCUGUUAUUUAUUUAUGUAUUUAUUUAUUUAAAAGGCAGAAGGAGUGAUCUUGUAUUUCCUGGCUUACUCUGCAGAUGGCUGCAACAGCCAUGUCUUGGCUAGGGCAAAACUGGGAGUUAGGAACUCCAUCCUGGUCUCUCACGUGGGUAGUUGGGACCCAAGUACUUGGGCCGUUGUGCACUGCCUUCCCAGAUGCAUUAGCAGGAAGCUGGGACAGAAGCAGUGUAGCUGGCAUUUGUACUGGUACCCUCGGAAGUGGGUGCGCUGAGACGUGUGCCACAAUGCUGGUCCCCCAGACUCUGUUGUUGACUGUAGCGCAGUGACAAGGCUGCUCUCAGCCUAACACAUUGUUCCCUUAGUUGUCUCUCAUGGACCCUCGUGGCUUUGUUGGCCUGCAGUGGUAGCCGCUCAAGGUCCUAGGAGUUGUGCUCACCUUCUUCUCUAACCUUGUGAUUUAAGUGAGAGUGUCAUCUUCCUGUAGAAAUAUCCCUGAACACAGGCACUGGCCCCGAGAGCCUGGAAGCUACCAGAAUUUGUGCUGCCAGGGCUUAGUCAUUGCCUGGCACCUGGUCCCAGUGAUCCUCAAGACUGGGCACCCCUUUUACUUAUAAUUUUUCUGAGCUAGGGCAGUGUGUUCCUUGACUGAGUGAUGUCACGCUGAGUUUUCUACACAUGGGUUCAAGUGUGUUGAUUCAUAUUCUUCCCCGAGAUCAAUAAAUGCUUUCUAUAUUUUUUCUCUGUUGUGUCUUACUCUUCUUAGCUAUAAAGAGAGAGGUCAGAAAAGCACAUCAUUUUCUUCUGUUCCCUAAGUUUCCUGUUGUGUCCUAGACAAGAUCAGUUGCAGAUUCCCUUUGUGUGUCUGGAGAGGAUCAAGUGCUUCUCCGGGACUGGCAGCACAGGGGGUGCUGCAGCCCAAGUGGCCCUUGCUGCCAUUCUUUGCAGUGCACGAACUCCUGUUGUGGCUGAAGGAGUUGAUGUCACUGCCAAGGCCACGUCCUGCAAUAUGAUUGAGUCAGGACCAAUGCGUGAGUGUAGAUUUACCAUCGCUCAUAAAUUCCACCAUAGCGUCUAGGUAAAUCCACUGUCUGGUUAAGAGUUGCUGUGUAGUAAGUAAUUAAAUUGACUGUAAUAUAUGUGUAUGUGCUUUCUGCCCUUUAGCGAAACAGACUCAAAAUGUUCUUAGGAGUGAUUUUUUAAAUCUCUGCACUUAGGUGCUGCAAUUCCACCUGAGUCACAAGCAGGUGAUAAUCCAAAGAGGAUUAGUUUUUCUGUCUUAUACUAGAGGUGUCUUGCAAAUAGGUGUGGUGCUUAUUCUAAGGUCUCCCUUGGGUGGAUCUGCUGGGGAGCUGUCUGUACAGAGUGUGUGCAGCUAUGGUCUCCUCCAUCAUUGCUGUUGGCCAGAGCCCCCCUCAGCUGUACCAGCCACGUGCCCCUUGUAAGUCUUUCUUGUUGGAGUCAUUCAGGGAUGCUCAGGUUCACUGGCACUGGUCAGAAAGUCAGGCAUUUCUGUUUGCUCAUAAGGGAGCGGGGAGAAUGAGAAGAAGAAAACAGCCCGGCUCGUGCACCAUUGCAUUUUCGGUAUCACGGGCUUUGUCAAGAAAUUGGAACGAAUGCUUUUACUUCAUUGGAAGUGGAUGGGCAAAUGUCCAGGUUGCAGAGCUUUGUGGUUCCUGACUGCAGGUGCAUUUGCUUCACAGCAGGUCCCAAGGAAUGGGAAAGGAGAGACUCGGCAGAUGGGUGAUCUCGGGGGCGUGAGCUUAGGCAUUGGUGGUUUGUCCUCUGGCCGUGCUGGUGGUGCUGCUGUUGCUUUGCUCCCAGUACUUCUAGGGUACACCCUAGGGACUGCUGUGAGCCUGAGGCCAUCACUGGGCUCGGUUACUGCUGUUCCCUCACUGUGCGGAUGUGACUGGGUGGGUGGGUCUGUGGCUUUCACCCCAGCGGAAACCUGUUAGUGUCCUUGGCAUUUCUCAACACCUUUCAUCAGGUUGGGCGAGAGCUGCCAGCUUCUCAGAGAUCCUUGUUUUGUGAUGAUGAUGCCAGGGGUUCGUUAGGAUUUGCAGACCCUGUGAUAGGAUAAGGCUUAACUCAUAAUCAAGGAAUAAAUCAGCCCUCUGUCUUCGGAAGACCUCCUCCAGGAGGCACGGUCAGCUGAUGGGGCUCAGCUCUAGCACAGGGCCACGACUUGCAAAUUUCCAUUUCUUUUCCUAAACAGCAGCAUUUGUGUUUGUCCUGAAUGCAAUUUCACCAAGAACCUUAUGCCCAAAACUGAUGACAGCAGAAAUUUCUAAAGAGAUUCUGCUCCCUGCCCUCUACCAUGGACUUUGGAACCCCAGGGCUUGCGGUCCCCUGCUUUGAAGGCUUUUGGGUUUGUGUCCUGCUGUACUGUCUUCAGAGCCCAGGGGUAGGGUGCCCACCAGGCAUGCAGCUGGCUGGGAGUAAAGCCUUCUUGUUCCCACUCCUGAAGUUCUGAACUGCAUCUCUUGAAGCUACUGUGGAGUCCCUGUUGGGCCCCCUGGUCUCUAACCUUGUUAGGAACCCUUGGUCAAGAUUCCUCAUGUUGUGCAUGGAUAAAGAAGGGAGGCUUUUAAAGGGGAGAGGGGCAGCCUGCUCAGUGCCAGUUGUCCACUCCUUCUUUGGUAAACAUUUGUUGUUUUACAUGGCUCUUGGCCUCCCAGGGGUUACACUCCUGAUACAAAGCUCAGAAACGUGACUGCUCUGGUAGGUGAGGUGUCAGGAUAUGACCGGGACACACGGGAGUGAAAUGUAAGCUGAAGGACAGGUUGGAGGUGGAGAUCAGGGGAAAACAGGGGAGGUGGAGGAACAGCUGUGCAAAGGCCCAGGGAUGGGGAGGUUGUGAGCCCUGGGCUGAACAGCUUUAGGAAUGAGAAUGGGGCUGUUAGCCGACCAGGCAGGGCUCAUCAGUGACGUCCAAGGUUUGGACUUAAUCCUGAGGGAGGUGGGAGCAUAGCAGGGCGGGCCAUGGCCCUGGGGGUUGCUUCUGUAGCAGUGGGGUCCUGGCGCGUGCACGUGGCACUUGGCGGCACAGCAUCACUUACUGAGGAUAAAUGUGGACGCCUGUGCAGCCUGACACAUAGGUCCUCAGGGCAAGAUGAUCAGGCAGCGACGUGUGUGGCAAACAGGCUGUUUGGUCAAUAGUUUAAUUCUGGCAGCAGCUGAAUGACAAUAUAAAGAAUGCAGUGGCAUUUCCACUGCAAAGUCUGCCAUCAUUUUCUGCUUGACAUGAGGAAAAUAAAGGCUUCUCAGCUCCAGAAAGAAUUAGCCUGAACUCCACCUGUCAGUCUCUGGGUGAAGAAUCAUCAUGUGGCAGGAUUGUAGUUGUGCUGAGAAGGACAUGGAGCAGUAGGGUGGGCUGCCCACACCUGGAUCUCAUUUCUGGAAACUCCGCCCGUCUUCAGGGUUUAACCAUGGUGUCCAGGUCCUUCCGUGCUGGGCUUGGCUUUGGAUUGGUCCCACAGUCCUCAUUCCAGGAGCUGUGAGGCUGGCUCCACGCAGGAAGGUGGCACCUGCCACCAUUCCUCGUGCUUCCUGCGUUGGGGGGCUUCCUCUUUGUUUUGCCAAUGGCUGGACUUCCUUUGAUUCUGAGCUUCUCAAGGGAGGGGAGGAGAGUGCUCUUGCUUCCACACAUGCCUUCCCAGAUCUUUAGUCUUUCGCUUUGUCUUUGCUUUAGCACAGUGGCCCUCAAAAGUUGGUCCCUCCACAUACCUGCAGGUGCAGGGCUCUACCUCACACAUACUGAGUUGGCAGCUAUGAGGAUGGGGCCCAGAGACCCAUGUUUUCGCAGCCUGCCUGGUGACUCUGGUAUAUGUUCAAGUGGAGAACCAUUGCUCUUUCAAAUGCUUAUGCUGAGGCACCAGGCUUCCAUACAGUGGAUAUGUUUGAGGAGGGGUGCACAUGUCUGAACCAUGCAGGGAGGGAGGUGUGCAGAAAGUAAUUAUAGGGCACCCCUUGGUCGGGGACAACUGAAGCACAGGAGUUCUUUCCCAUCGUGGAGUACCCAGUGGGGGUGCUAUUGCUGUGAGCACGUGCUGUGCGCCAGCCGCCUGGCCCAGCCCUGUGAUGUUACUGCACUGAGGAAGUUAGAUUUACUGUCUGCACUUCAUGAUGGCUAGAAGUGGGGCCCAGAGCAGUUAGCUGAACUGCUCAGGGAUGAAGUGGCAGAGAUGGAACCCGAGCUCAGGUUUGCACUUGACCUCUAUGCCCUGACCCUCAUCGUGUGCUGCUCAUGUCACUGCCCGGCUGGCCAGUUCUGGAAUGCCGAGGUAUCCUGUGUGUGGCUGGCCUGGUCCAUGUGUUUGCAUACUGAGCCCUGCAGAGAGGUUGAGGAACAUGACGGGCUGCCAUGAUCUUGGGGGAGAAUGGUAUUUAAUCUUCUCUCCAAGAGUAACUUCAGAAUCACAAACAGGAACCAAGAAAAUGAAGUGAGCAAUUUCGCACUUGAAAUGCAACACAUGUGAAUGACUGCCUAUUAAAUUGGGCUGGGCCUGUGCUCCCAGCCUCCUGUGACUGAGGCUAUUAGAAUGAGGAGCGAAAUUGCAGAGGGGAGGCUGGUUAAUUGUCUUCCCAGGUUGUUGCAGCAACCUGCGUGAGGGACACGGUUCCCACGCUGCCUGUGCAUCUCUCCAUGGGAUUUCCUCUUAUGAUUAAACAGGAAGCAAUAGCAGGGAGGUGUGGGGAGGCUGGGCUGGGACUUGGCAGCCUCAUGAAGCCUGGAGUAUGAGGCUCCUCUGUUAGCAGGCGUAGCAGAAAUGGCUUCUGGAUCUCAGCUUGUUGCUCCCAGCUUGAUCAGGAAUGCUUUUUCAAGUUUCCUGCUGGUUCUGAAAUCCACAGGUAGGUGAGCGCUUUGGGACUGGGGCGUGAACUGGCCUUUUGAUUUUAUACCAGCUUCCUUUCCCAACAUUCUGUAAGGAUUUCUGUUUGGCUGUUUCCUGUUUAUGGGCGUUACUUUUGCAGUCUGCACCUGGAGUGCUUGUCACUCACUCCACGGAAGAAUUUGGCUGUGUAGUGAGUCACAUGUUCCUAUAGACCCUGUCUGCAAGGUAAGUAGUCCUCUGUCUAUCAAGUAUCUUACUUUCUAGCUCUGUAUUGGAGACAUCCAGCUGUGGAGGAUAUUGCCCAAUGAUUUUUGUCUCCCAAUUAGCUUGUAGCCAAGUCCCAAUAACAUAUUAAGCCAAGGGCUUUUCUUGUUAAUUUCCCCCUAGAAAAGAUGUGGCAAAGCUACAGGGAGGCUGAACUUAGCUAAAGAACAAUGCUGAGCUCUGCUGUUCUUCCUUUCAAAUAAUCAGCUGCUCCCUUAGAGAAUAACAUUGUUUAGCAUCUGUAACAAUGUUGCAUUGUUAGAGGAGGUUGAAAACUUUGUGGCAUUAUUAGCUGGGAGAUAACACCGGUGGUGUAGAUUUCAUGAAGUUGCUCUUGAAACUUGUCUUAUUAUCCAGCAGGUGAGCACCCUAAGGUGGUCCUGAGUUUUCAGCUCCAACUUUGAAGUAACCUUGACAUGAGUAGGAGGAUGCUUCAAGAAAUUUAUGGAAGAUCACAUAUGCUGAUGCAAAAACAACUUGAAAUCUGUGCUCAGUUUUUUCAUUUUACACGUUUUCCAUAGACUUUUUAAAGAUCUCUCAUCUGCAUGAUUUGAAAGUGUUGUUGUGCCAGCUUAAAGUUGACCGUUUUGAUUCCACUUUUCCAUGAACUUUUUGAAGUAGACUCACACCUCACCAGCAGAUGCCCGUGAGCAACUUCACAUUCUCUGUCUCCAUGUCUUUGUUCAUUUGCAUCCUGGCAGGCAGGCAGUCUGAGCUUUGAUGUGUUUGUCAGCUGACACACAGUUCUUGUUUUUGGAAAGGUCCUUGCCUUUGCUUGGGCAGCCUUACCUCUUGGAGCAGUUCCUUGAAUUACUGGUGCAUCUUGUUUCAUAAACAAGAAUAAGGGGUGUUCACACUUGGGUCUCACGAAAGUGGAGAUUACAUGGGAAAUUAAGACUGCCCCAAAUAAGAAAUGAUUCACCUCAAAAGGGUGGACCCUGGAAUUAAGACAGUCAACUGGUUGUGAGGAGAAAAGAAAAUGAAAGGACACAAAUGAAAUGCUGAAAACAUCAUCAAAGACAGUGCUUUAAAAACUGUGUCCUUAGAAAUCUAUGCUAUUUUCAACCCUGGGGAGCAGGCAGCAUGCCUUUCAAUAGAGAUCUGUUUAGUUGUCACUCUUUUAAUAUACUGACUUAUUUUUCAUAUUACAGCACAUUUUAUACAGGGGCUGCCCUUAAUUUUUCAUUUUUAAAAAAUAUUUAUAUGACAGAGAUCUUCCAUCUGCUGGUUCACUCCCCAGAUGGCCACACAGAGCUGGGGCUGGACCAAGCUGAAGCCAGGAGGCUGGAAUUCCAUUUGGGUCUCCGAGUAGGUGGCAGGGGCCCAUGUACUUGGGCCAUCUUCUACUGCUUUCCCAGGUGCCUUAGUAUGGAGCUGGAUAGGAAGCAGACCAGUCAGGACUCAUACUGGUGUUCCAAUAUGAGAUGCCAGCCUCAGAGGCAGUGGCUUAACCUGCACCACAGCGCUGGCCCCAGGAGGCUACUCUUACCUUAUCUUUUUUAUUUCUCAUGCUGGGGUUGCACUCACUGCCAUGACCAGGAAAAAUUUUUACAGAAACAAUGGCAGUUUACUCCUGUUCCCAGCCUCUCUGUUCCCAUCCUGGCCGGGCUUUAUCUUCUUUCCUGCUUUAUUUAUUUUUUCUAUAGUACUUAUGCUUAAUCAAUUGCACUUACUUGCUUGUUUAUCAACUGUCUGCUACCAGGAGAAUUCCACAUAGAAUAGGAAUUCUUCUCUGUUUUAUUCAUUACUCUAGACUAGCAUUUCUUGAAACAUGUUUUUGUUAUCACUCCCCUAAGGAGAUUUCUUAGAUUUUUUUUCCUAAUUGCCUCCCCAGUUCAUGAAAUUUUAGUAGCAUGAGUAUACCAUGUGUCUUUGUAUGCUGUGAGUACAUCUGCUUUAUACACCAGGAGAGAAGGCCUUUUUCACACCUCACAGACCAAUUUUCAGCCCCCUGCCAGACAGCGUAAGUUACCCUCUUGGUGGCGCAUGCUUCCAACCGCGGUCAGCCACGGAGCUUGGAGCACGGGAGGUGCUCAGCGACCCUGUGCUGAAAGUUUGUCCCCACGAAAGCUGCUGAACCCACACGUCAACAUGAUGCUUACAGCUUGCAUGUACUUACCUUUAGAAUUUUUUUCCAUGAUGUUUUUGGCAGUAGAAACCAAACAUUGGUGACGACUUAACUGUUGAGAGAAGGGCACCCCCACCCCGGGGUGUGUUAAGGUCUCACUUUUCUUCUGAGAGAAUCAUUCAGGGAGGGGAUGUUCUAAUCAGGUUCUUGUUUAGUCCCAUAGGCAGUUAUCCCUAAUGACCAACGCACACACCAGAAGCCAAAGCACAGAUAUACCAAAUGCAGCUACUGGUGUUGGGCCAUGUUCCUCCUUAAGCUGUGAGACUAAAGCUGUACUGGUUGUCAGUUCUUAGGAGUCAUAGUCCUCAAUAGUACACAACUGGGCCCUCAGGAGUCGUGGUCCUCAGUAGUACUCAGCCGGGCCCUCAUGAUGACCAUUAUCAAACAGAAGUUUUCUCCACCUACCCUGGAGUAGGGGUGGACCCAAAGGGAUGCACUUAAAUCAGUCUCUGUAGAGUGCCUGGAUUUGCCCAGCUGCUCUGUGCGUCUUCAGAUCACCUGCUGUUCUGAAGCCACCAUGUCUCCUGUCCUGGUAGACUGUGUGAGUGGUAUGAUAAAAGGCCAGCAGUUUUAUGUGUAUUCAAUGAAACAGGGCGGCUCAAGGCUUCCUGCUGUCUGGUGUGGUGGGCACAAUAACAGAUGCAGGACAGUUGGUGUGUGUCCAUUCAGAUGGCAGACACCAGGGGGACCCUCUCCAGUAGAGUCUGAGCAGGCUUCUUCAUCAGACGCAGGGUCAGCCUUGUGGAGGGACAGGUGCUGCUUCCCCCAGCCUUGGGAGGGAGAGCCCAUUGUGCCUUUCCACCUUAGGAUGCACAGAUGUUGUGGGAAAGGAUGGGUUGUUUGGAAGGCACUCAGAUCCGAUGUUUAAAGUUGGAAUUUCUAAGGCAACAGGCUAUGUGGAGGGAACUUACGGUGAAUGCUUUUUAAAACUGAGUGCCUCCCCUCAUUUAUGUUUUUGCAUUGCUAUUUGGAUUUUUUCUAUCCCAGGUUUCCCCAAAGUGAUGCACCCUUGUCUAAAGCAGAUGUGUGUCUGCUGCCUGUGUUGCCCUUGCUGGAGUUUUCCUGUGGUGGAGUGCUAAGUGAGGAAGGAAUUUUAAGAGAAUAUUUGCAAAAAUGCCUUGGAAACAUGGAUAUGAAGUCAAAUAUCUUAAUUAGAAAAAAAAAAAAGCCUGGGAUUUUUCAUUGGAGACUCUUGAACGUUACCAUUUUCCUCUCUGGAACGCAGAUGGCCAAGAGAAGCGGGGAUUCCGACUGGACAGCAGUAGCGCUCAUUUCCCCGCAUGCUCUUGGUUGCUCACACUUGCAUCUGGUGAUGUUUGUUCAGCAGCUCCUGCAUGUGGGUCCCUCUGCAAGGUGUUGGGAAGGCGGAGGUGAAUGUGAGUCAGCCCUGGCCUUUACAAAGUGGCCUCACCACUCAGGGUUCUCACAGGUAACCAGGUGGCAGUGGAGUUCAUAGUUGUUAGGAGACUGGAGGUAGGUCCCAGCCCUGGGUGACUGCCCAAAUGACGUCUAUGCUCUGUACAUCUGUAAAGUAGGGUUAAAUUGGCAACAACCUCACAGGGAUCCUUGAGGAGUAAGUAAUCUGAAUCCAUGCACAGUACAAGCCUUGCACCUGGACAGGCUUAGGAUGUGGUGUCUGUUCCCAGGAGGCAGAGACCAGGCUGUAGGGCACGCCUCCUAGUGCAGCCAGGGGAGCACGCCUGGGCAGGACAGCUCACGUGAAAGAACGAGUUAUGUGCACACAGAACUGACCGCAGCACUGCUUUGGUGGAAUGAGGGAUUGACAGUUAUGCAAUGUUCAGCACGUGACUUUGAAGUCACUAACUCUGCUGCAUUGCUGUCUCUGCACCCCCCACUUCCUUCCCCCCUUUCUGUCACUCUGGCCACUCAGGGGUCAAGAGAUGCGGGUGACCCCAGGCCAGCCCUUCAGAAUCUGCUGUGGAGGCAGACCCCGUCCUGGGUGCAUAGCUCAGGGAUCAGAAUCUAGAGUGAGAGAAUCCACAGGCUGUGGCUCCAUGAAGGUCCAUGUUUUUAGGCGACUUCACUUGUGUUGGGAGGCAGGGCAGCUCUGGAAGACAGGACUGGGCCCCUGUGAAGUCACUGUGUCUCUCCAAGCAAAAGGCAGGACUGGUUCACCUUCCAUAAACCUGGGAUUGUCAGGAGCCAAGAUGGCAGCGUCCUGAGCACUGAGCGUAGGGGCCCAUCCCGGGCAGACAUGUGUUGGUGUGGGGGUCACCGUCACAGCGAGCACGGCUCUGACCAGGUGAGCUGUGGAGCGCUGUGUGCUGUUAGGGUUUCUCCAUUUCUGUGGGUUUUUGGUGAUAGGGCCUGCCUUCUUACGGCAUCCGACCUGGGAUUUUGUUUGGCAGUAUUUUGAGCUUCUGUUCAUUUAGAGAAGAAAAGGCAUGAUUCCUAAUUGGUAUAAUUUUACCUUCAUGAAUCCAGAAACACAAUUCCUAGAAUAAUGAGUUCCCCUUUAAGAGAGAAACUUCUCUGCAGAAGUGCCAAUUCUUAGCUCAUUAGGCCCAUCCUGGCAGGAGGAUGCAUGGCUUUCCCUGGGGCAGUGCUGUGAACACUUGGGGUACUCAAACAUUUUCCAGUCCCUGAUGUCCCCAGUCAACUCCUCAUCCUACGACUAGGCUUCACUAUUUAAUGAAAGGAACUUUGGGGCUCCCACUGUCAUGAUCUUGCUGACUCACCACACUGCAAACAAUUUGAGUGAUUUUUAUCCCCUUAGCAUCAUUAUUCAUGUUCCCACAAAGAACACCGUGUGUUGGUGUGAACAGGUCACCAGACAAGCAGAUAGGGUGACGAAAGCAUUUCCUGGGUACAGAUUCGUCAUCUGUCACCUACUUGGAGAGAUUCCAGGUGAGCUCCCGGGGAAGCAAGCUUUUUGUCAAACAGGGUUCCUCUCACCCCUCCGUAAGUCCCCUCCCUGCCAGGGCUUAAAAAGACCAGUGCAUUUGUGGGAACCCCGAGUUUUCUGACUGCUGCCCUUCUGCCCUCGUAACACAGCCUGGGGAGCUGCCAUCUUCCUCACUGGCCAUUGGCUUAGUUAGUUUUCUUGAGCCACACAGAAUAGCUCAGACUGGGUAAUUUGUAAAGAGGUUUACUCGGCUCCCCGUGCCGGACGCUGGGAAGGCGAGAGUGUGGCCCAGGCCUGUGCUCGGUGUCUCGGGCGGGCUCCCUGCUGCAUCGUGACAGUGGAGGGGAUACCAGGGAAGACUCAGCGAGUGCGCUAGCUAAGGAUGCUCCUCUUAGCCACUCACGGCCUCCUGGGGCCCCGAUUCCCAAAGGCUCCACCUCAUUCUGCAAAUACGUCUAACAUAUAGGAGUUUGAGAACCAAGUUUCCAACACAUGAACUUUGGGAAGAUGUGUUCAAGCCAUAGUAAUGAUCCUUCGUGUCGCCAUGGCUGUUGUGGACAUUUGAUGUGGUCAUCAUAGGUAGGUCUCUUUGUUUAUUUCUGAGCAGUUAGAAAGGGCAUCCUCCAUUGCAUGGGGAGACUUACCUUCAGCCUGCUGGGAUGGAAGAGUCAAGAGACCCAGAUGCCACUCGUGACUCUGUCACUCUCGAGCUGAGAACCUGAAAGAAACCACACUCCUCCAACAGGAUGCAGGCUUCCCAGCAAAGAUGAAGGCAGUGGGUAGGGUUUCAUCUCAGACUCUGAUUAUCUGGAAGCUGACCUGUGCUCACACGUAGAUGGGGAAGAGUUCAGUGAUUGAUUAGCUCUGUCUACCAUAGGUGUGGAAGUGCUGGGCUGCUGGCGUCCUGGAGCCAGAUAAAGCCAAAGUUCCUUCUUCUUCCGGCAUCCUGUGCCUAAAUACCCACACAGCAGCAGCAGGAUUUGCAGGGCAGGACGCAGAGUAGUGGGUGGGGUGUGGAUGGAGUCAAGCAGCCUGGUUUCUCUCGUAGCGUUUCCGCUGAUGAGCUUUGGCACCUGUGAUAAGUCACUUCGUCUCUCUAGGCUGUAAUUUCCUCCUGAGUAAGAGGAGGAUAUAAGGAGAGGAGAUGCGGCUGCGUGGGGUGCUGCUCGCUCAGUGCUCCUGCAGCCCCCCGGCUCUGGGGAGCGAUUUGGAGGGAAGCCGAGUGGUGCUUUGUAGUCGCUGGCAGCAUAUUUAUUUAUUCAUUAUGUUUGAGAAGAGCCUCUCAUUCCAGGAAGAAAUGCUCCAGUCAGCUGAGUUUGUUAGUUUAUCCCGACUCCCAGUGGCUUCACGUGGACCUCCUUGCCUUGUCCUCUGUCCUAGGGGUCACGUCUGAGUUCAACACCACUCAUCCCAAGUCAGCCUUCACAAGCCAGACCCGCUUCCCACCCUUGGGACUGUUGUUGCUGUCCUCAAGCCUCUGACCUGUCCGAUGCUCGUUUGUAAGCCACGUGUCUGCCCACGUCGUGGUGCGGAGUGGUGCUGGACUCCUCACCCCUGCUGCUCCCCGCCAUGCCACUGCAACAUGCUGCAUGCUUGCAGCUCCAGUGCUUUGCCUGUGCCUCCUCUUCACAGUGGAGUGCCCUCCCCCCUCCUUUUCGCUGGAAUUUGCCAUGUUUUCUCAAAGACAGAAAAAUGCCACCACUUUGAAGCCUUUCCCAGUGAUGGCUUUGCAACCCCCCUCUCCCACUCCUCCAGGCAGAGUGGGCUGGAGUUUUGAUCUCCUGUCCUCUCGGCUCUCAUCUCAUACUUAUUUAUUUUACUGAUCUAAGGGUACCCUCAUGAUGUUCAUGAAAAAUGGAAUUAAAAGGCAACUUUAUUUUGGUGCAUACUUUUUAAAAUCUAAUCAUAGUUUUUUCAGAGUAUUCAUUUUCAUUAACUUUCUGAAGAUCCCUUGUAUAUUGCAUGACCCUUGAAAGGGAGAAGGCAGAAUUAUGCAGUUCCUUAUCCACUAUCACUAGCAUAGUAGCUGUCCUGGAGCCAGCACUUAACACAUGGUUGAAUGGUGGACAGAAUGAACCAUGGCAGUUAAUGCUCAUUGCUUGCUUGUUUGCUGUGCUGUGUGUUCUUGAUCCCUCUGAGGUGGUGUCAGUGUCCACACUUGAGAGCCUGGGAAACUGAGGCCAGAGGGCCCAUGGGUGGCACGCAGAGCACAGCUGUUCAGUGAUGGCCUCAUUCUGCGUUGAAGGCAGGUGGGUGGUCCCUGACCCCCUGCUCCUGAUGCUACUGUAGUUCACCUGCUGAACGUGCUGCCCCUUGUCCUCCCCUGAGUCCUCCUUGUGUGGGGUCCUGCUCGGAGCCCUGGAUGACCCCGUGGUCAGCACUUGCUCCAGAACUCGUGAUGGGAACGUGUUUGAUGAGCCAUCUUCUCUGUGUGCCUUUCAGUAGCCAUUGCAUCACUUGAUUCUGUAAGAGGGGUCAGGUUUUGAAUUUGAACCCGAUUGAGCCAGAGUUCUGACACUUUUUGACAUGGAACCAGCCACUGACCUGUUCAAACCUCAAUUCCUUUAUCUCUAGAAUAGGAAGUUAUGUGUUCCCAAGAACUUAAACCAACCUGGUGUCAAAUGGUUUGACACCAGAAUGGACCCUGUAUCGGAUCAGAAAUGAGCAGUUGUCCCCAGAAGCUGUGUAGUUCCCAGAUCUGCAAAAAUGUGACGGACGAAGAGCUUCCCCUGCAGAGUGCCCACUGCAGCAGGUGUGAACCUGUGCAGGAGGCUUGCGCUGUGCACUGAAGCAGUCUUCCACAAAACUUACUUUUCUUCAAAGUCUUAGGUUUCUCCCUUAAAAUUUAUACAAAUUUUGAAUUCUGCUCCUUAGGAUAUAGGGUACUUUAAAAAGUUUGUGGAAAAAAUGGGAUUAAAAAUUUACAUUGACACAAAACAAAUUGAAAUCCAUGUAUAGCUUCUUAUAAUUCACAUCUCCACAAACUUAUUUUUUUAUUUUUAUUUAUUUUUUGACAAGCAGAGUUAGACAGUGAGAGAGAGAGACAGAGAAAGGUCUUCCUUCUGUUGGUUCACCCCCCAAAUGGCCGCUGAGGCUUGCACGCUGCACUGAUCUGAAGCCAGGAGCCAGGCAUUUCCUCCUGGUCUCCCUUGUGGGUGCAGGGCCCAGGCACUUGGGCCAUCCUCCACUGCCUUCCCGGGCCACAGCAGAGAGCUGGACUGUGAGAGGAGCAACCGGGACAGAAUCUGGUGCCCCAACCGGGACAGAAUCCAUCGCCCCAACUGGGACUAGAACCUGGAGUACAGGCACCGCAGGCAGAGGAUUAGCCUAGUGAGCCGUGGUGCCAGCCUCCACAAACUUUUGAUGUACACUGUUAUCUGUUUAAUAUGGUAUAAAAAUGCAUAAAAUUAUGCAAAAGUUCACAUGCCAAGAAGGGUCUGUCAUCACAGCUGUUCCACUUCUUAUUGCAAACAGUGUGGAUGCCCUGACUUUGUGCGGGCCCCGGAAGCUCAGUUGCUGUGCAUCUUCUCUAGGAGUGAGGGGGAACCUGAGCUCAGGGGCCUGAAAGUGCAGUUCUCCCUCUGCUGGCCUGGAUGCCAAACCUGGGCGAGGAGAGUGAGUCCCUGGGGACAAGGCUGCUCAGCAGGCAGUGUGCCUCUGCUCAGGCAGGAAGCUGAUCCUUCGCAUUCAAUUGGAGGGCAUGUGGCUGCUUUCCACAGAGGAAAACAAGCUUCCUCCCAGGUCUCAGGCGAAGGCCCGUGAAAAGCUUGGUUCUUAGCACGCAGAGAAAGUUGGAAGAUGUUUUCUCCUAUUGAAACGACAGAGCCUGCCUGUGAGCCAGUGUCGAUUCACUGCCUUAUGUGGGCAAGCUUUUGUGUUUGUGCUGUGUGUGCGUAAUGAGCAUUCACCCUUAGGACAAGACGUUCUUUUGGUCUGCAGUGAAUGAAGGGGUAAAUAUUAGCUUUUUUCUUUGAAACGGGUACCUUAGGUAUUUUUUUUUUAAACAGGGGUAGGACUUGCUAAGGAAAAUGUUGAUUUGCAUAGAAUCUCUGUUUACUCUGAUGCCAGCCUCCUUCAGCAUUCGGUUGUAGCAUGGUUUCCUGCCCCACAGUCCUCACUGUCUCCCCCACAGCGCCCGCCCUGUGUCUGUCAUUUCUAUGCUGACAGUGGCAGUGGGGAUGUGAGGCAUUGUUACUGUUGAUCUUUUGUGUCUUUGUCUAAUUUAAAUGACCAGGUUGGAGGAUGUCGACCACUGCUGUCAAUAAAGGCUCGCUCAGUCAGUCGUUCCACAUUUUUAUUGUUGUCUUUGAGCAAUUGCAGUGUUCUGAGUGAGCUGGGCUGUAGGGAAAUAAAGGUGAACAUAUAAACAUGAUCCCUUACUUUGGAAUGAAUAAUGAAGCCAGGUGACUCUGCACGGGCAGAGCUAGUCUCAUGGACGUGACUUGUCUGGUGUCUGGACAGUUUGGACGGUGCUUGGGAGCCCCUGUUGGAGAGAUGCUCUAGGUUUGAUUUGUGCAGAAUCAAACUUGACUUUCUUUCUUUUUUUUUUUUAAGGCAGAGUGGACAGUGAGAGAGAGAGACAGAGAGAAAGGUCUUCCUUUUCCGUUGGUUCACCCUCCAAUGUCCGCCGCGGCCGCACCGCACCUAUCGGAAGACAGGAGCCAGGUGCUUAUCCUGGUCUCCCAUGGGGUGCAGGGCCCAAGUACUCGGGCCAUCCUCCACUGCACUCCCUGGCCACAGCAGAGAGCUGGCCUGGAAGGGGGGCAACCGGGACAGAAUCCGGCGCCCUGACCAGGACUAGAACCCGGUGUGCCGGCGCCGCAAGGUGGAAGAUUAGCCUAGUGAGCUGCAGCGCCAGCCAAACUUGACUUUCAAUUUUAGCUGCACUAUUUGCCAGCUCUGAGACCUUCACCAAUUUAUUUCUUCCCAGCAACCUUCAGGUUUUCUUCAUGUGUAAUACAGGGAUAAUGUUAAUCCCUUUUACAUAGUUGGAGGAAAUAAGACAUCAGGGCCUGAUAAUAGUGAUUUGUAAACUGUUUACUGUUGAAAUAGCUACAUUUCUAGCAUGUGCCAGACCUGGGUCCAGCUGUUGAGCUGUCUUGGGGACUGUGCUGAGGACCAAGGCCAGGACCUUGAAGGAUUCCCUGGCAGUUUUCUUUGGGCUCAGUCUCCCAGUGCUGGUGUGAGUUGAAUGCAAAUGGGAAUAAGUGCUCAUGGAUUAUGUGUUACUGGUGUUCUGUAGCAAUUCUGGUGUCACUGUUGCUGCUUUGAGAACAAAAUGAAUUCAAAUGACUCUGCCAAGACAAGACAUGGGUCCAGGGCUCUGCUGUAUUUAACAGUAUCUCGAGAGGAGAGGAAGGUCACGUUCAUCACAGUAGUAACCCCUGUCCCAGGUGAGCGUGUUGUGUUCUUCCACUGCAGCCUCACCCGCACUCCAGGGAGCAGACACAGAGCUCAUCAAGACUCCUGGCUCAUCCCAGGGCUUGUGGUCAGUCAGUGGUGAAGAAAGGCAGGACUGGGACCAGUUUCCCGAUGGCUAAUGCAACACUCCUGUGCCGUACUACUUAGAGGAAGUUGCUAGCCUUGUCUCCCUCUCUUGUGAUGAGACUCGAGUUUGUUUUUCCCUCUAUGAGAUGGGGGUGACAGAGGUGGGCUGCGGGCUGGAGAAGUGGAAUGGACAGUGUCACUGUUCUGCACAGGGCUUGGCUCUGAAGCUCAGAAGGACGAGUGUACUCAGUACAGUCCCUGUCAGGGACUUGCGAGAUGAGCUGGGUGUGAGGUCUGUUUUCGGCCGCUUACUUGUGUGGCCUUGGGCUGAUUCCUUCUUCUCUCUGAACCCCAGUUUCCUCAUGAAUGAGUGAGGAUUGUCAUGAUGAACACACACAGCCUGAACAGCAAGGUUACAAUAAAGCUGGUUAUCAGCAUGAUGAAGAAGUGGAUCAUUUUGCAUUGCUUCGGCCCCCCUUCCACGCACUAAGAAUGAAACUCGUGACCAUGUGCUUGGAUCUGCACCCUUUGUAGUCUCCAGCUGCUGCACUGGCUGGCUCUCUCCUUCCCAAGAGGACUCAAGCGACUUGCAGGAGCCUCUGUCCUCCACUGAAACCAGGGCUCAUCACCUUGAUGUCCCUUAGAGCUGGUUCAGCCCUUGCCUCCUGGACAGCAGCAGCUUGAAUCUGGGGGGUCAGAAGCAGAGCUCAGAGCUAUGGUUGUGCCACCCCUUCCCCCCGUGCCCCCUUUCCUACUUUAGCAGGAAGUGCGACAUCCUUGGUCCACACAACUACUUGGUGUGUUAUCCAUGUGCAAGAAGCAGCACCUCUGACCUACUCUGCUGUGAGGAUGCUCAGCCCGGGGAAGGGACUCCAGAGACAUGAAACAUAGAUUCAGGAAGUAUUAGAAAUGCAGACUGAAAGGACCAGGGCUCCUUGUCUCUGGCCCGGGCUUCUGGGUCAGUCAUGGUCUAACAGGUUCCCAUGUGGGGUCAUCACCGGACCGAGAUGAGGUUGUUAAGCAGGUACCAUGCCAGCAUUCAGGCUAAGGUGGAUGUGUGAUUGCUGCUGUCUGAACCUGCCACAGGCCAGCCCACAGUGCCUGGCACAGCCUUUAUGUGCAGAAUAUGUUUGCUGAGUGAAAGAUCUUUGGUUUGCUGGGAUGCUGAGACGUCACACCAUUGUCAUUAGGGUAGUUGCAGCUGUUAUGAACUUAUUAUAAGAACUUAUACUCCAGGUGCUGUAAGAAGCACCAUCUAGGAGUCAUCACUGGUGCUUUUUUUUUUUUUAAGAUUUAGUAUGUAUUUAAAGGCAGAGUUAGUGGGAUAGACACACACACACACACACACACACACACACACAUAGAUAUCUUCCAUCCCUGGUUCAUUCCCCCAAAUGGCUACAAUGUCCAGGGCUGGGCUAGGCCAAAGCCAGGUGCCCAGAACUCCAUCUGGGUUUCCUACAUGGAUGCAGGGGCCCAAGUACUUGGGAUGUCUUCCACUGCUUUCCCAGGCUUAUUAGCAGGGAGCUGGAUCAGAGGUAGAGCAGAUGGGACUUGAACCAGCACCCAUAUGGGAUGCCAGCACUGCAGGUGGCAGCUUCACGCUCUGUGGCACAACACUGGCCUCAUUCACUGACUUAGCCUGAAGGAAAAAAGUUGUUUUUUUUUCUUUCCUCUUUUGCCACUCAGCGCAACACACACAAUCCAGAACACUUCGCUCUGAUCGCUGAACACGUGUGAGGGUUUCUCCUCACCAACUACCAGCUUUCCGGUGGACUAUACCUGGGGAUCCUAUAAUUGAACUCAAAUCCUGGCCAUGUGUACCUGGAAGUACACCCAGAUCCCUCAAGUUAAGAGACUGGACUGUCCCCCAUGUCAGAGGCCAGCCACAGGCCCUAGGCUGUGACCCCUACUUCUGACCGGCUCUAAGUUGGGGUUCCAACAGCCCUUUCAUUGGAUUUGAUUACUUUGCCAGAAAAGCUGAUGUAACUCAGGAGCACUUUACUCCCAUUUUCCCCUUUGUGGUCCAGUAUAUCACACAGGAUGCAGACAGACACCUAGACAGGGGAGAUGUGCAGGGCCAGGUGUGGGGAGAGGGCUCUCCUGGGCUCACCUCACUCUAGGGACUUCCAUAUGCUGAGCAGUCCAGGUGCCCUGAGAACCCUAGCCUUCUGGGGUUUUAUGGAAGCUUCAUUACCUAGGCGUGGCUGAUGACAUCGCGGUGACAAAAUAUUAGAAAUGCGAAUUGAAAGGACCAGGGCUAUUGGUGACCAACUCAAGCUCCAGCGCUGCCUGGAGGUUGGGGUGCGACUGAAAGCCCCCACCUCUAAUCACGCUGUGGUGGUUCUGAGCGCCAGCCCCACCCUGAAGGCAUCUCGGGCUAUUGGCACACGACAGACAUGCAGAUCACUGCAGAGUCCAAAGACAUGAGGAUCUGUAUGCUGGGGGCCAGAGUCACCGAGAGAAUAUUCCAGCAAAAGAUCUCUGAGCACCCUUGCCUGUAGGGUUUUAGGGGCUCCUUCUAGAAACCUGGACAGAGACUGAAUGUGAUGCAUUCUGACUGCACAGUGGCCACAGUGGAACACCUGUGUCGAGACAGACGCCCUCAUUCCCUGUGUCGUACACUUGUGGGACCUGCUCUGGGUCCACCGCCAAGGGCAGCCGAGUCGGUGUCUGAGCCGUGUGUGGCUCUGAAGAGCUUGCUGUUGACUCAGGCUCAGAUGGGGUCCUGGGCUUGGUGGGCUCAAGCGUGGGGCAGUGGUCCCAUGACCUCCCUGGCUCAUCUUCAGAGAAAUGCAAGGGGCUUGAAAACAUUGAUGGCAGAAGUGCAGUGAGAAUAGAAUGCUGUUGUCCUUUUGCAGACAGCUUGUAGCCUGAGAGUGGGCUUCCAAGACUCCUUCCUGAGCUGGCAUGCAGUCUUCUUUCUCUGUGGGCCUCAGGGGUGUGUGUAGGGCUGAGCACAGGCCCAGGCUCAGCUCCCUGCCGCUGCUGUUCCGACUAUGGAGGAGGAAGAGAGCGGGGCUCCUGCGUAGCUUUGGCUCAUGAAGGAGAAUCCCAGCUGCCUGGCUUUUGGACAGAGUGCCCGGGGCAAUAAACACCCUUAGAAUUAAGCCCACACACUCCAGUCACAUCACGCAGGCCAAGCACUUUAGCAGUUCUGGUUCUAGAUCGCUGCCUUCCUUAAUGGGCACAAAACAGGACGAGGUGGGGGGAACGGAAAUCACUCAAUUAGAAGAUGAAGCUGUGACCUGCAACACUGGGCAGACCUCCCCUCGCCCGGCUGCUCCAGUGCACGUGGCCAGGUGACUAGAAAACGGGAGCCCUGGCACUCAGUAGUGACAGUGCAGCUGGUAAAGGCUCACCUGUGCCCCUAUAGAUGCCCGGGGCCAGACCAGCCACCUGAGCUGGAUCAUAAACGGACCGUUUAUUCUGUGCUCAUACCUGCACCUUCUAAGUUAACGAAAGGGAUUGCUAGCAGGGCCUAAAGAAUGGAAUGGAAUGGCUCUUAAGUGAAACCCCUCAUCCACAGCAUUUCAAAGCCUAGUACGCAUGGUUCAUUCUUAAAUUCUGCAAAGACCGAGACAUCAUACUGCUGUAAGAGUCCCUUGGUUAAAUAGUUGACAAAGCUCCCACCUGGGAAGUAUUCAUUAAGCAAAGGAGCUCUCGACUUCUUUACAGCAUCCCAUUUUCAGUGUUGUUUUUUUAGAAGAAUGCAUGAGGGGGCCAGCACUGUGGUGUAGCAGGUAAAGCUGCCAUCUACAGGGCCGGCAUCCCAUAUGGGCGCCAGUUCAAGUCCCGGCUGCUCCACUUCUGAUCCAGCUCCUUGCUAAUGUGCCUGGAAAAGCAGUGGAAGAUUGCCCCAGUGCUUGGGCCCCAGUACCUGCUUGGGAGACCUGGAAGAAGCUCCUGGCUCCUGCCUUCGGAUCCGCGCAGCCCCAGCCAUUGCUGCCAUUUGAGGAGUGAACCAGUGGAUGGAAGACCUCUUUCUUUCUGCCUCUGCCUCUCUGUAACUUUACCUUUCAAAUAAAUAAAUAAAUACUUUUUACAGAAAAAGAAUGCAUGAGACCCCAGGCCUCAUUUCUUUGGCCUGUUCUGUGGGCUCGAGGGGUGUGUAUGGGCACAUCUGAGAAAGAAGGGGAGCUGAGAGGCUGUGGAGUGAAACUGAAAUCCACUGACGUGAUGUCAUUCAACUGACAGCUUCCUGUUGCUUUGUUCAGUUGUUCUGUGUAUAACAGUGACAGUGUCACCCUGAAACUGUGCUGUAGAAUGGGAAAUGUAAUGGAAAAAAAUGGCCGCUCAGGAUCGUAUUUUUCAUCACAGGAUUCUCAGGUUCCUGGCUUCGUAGGGAAGAAUCAAUAUUGAAUCCAGUUGUGUUGGCAAAUACACAAGUUUGAAAAGACUACAGAGGGACAUCAACAACACUAAAAGUCCGAGAGCAUUAAUGUCCAAAAACAUAAAUACAGAUUCAUUACUGCUAGCAUGUUUGAGGAAGUUUGUUUUUUCCAUGGUUUUAUAUCUGUGUACACUGUGUACACUGCUGUGUAGUGAGCACGUGGUGGUGGACUUUGAGUCAGUUGUCCACCUCCUGAAACACUGUAACUUCUUGCUCAUUUUCUGGCUGAAGGGUUGGGUUCUUGUUUUGUAUCUCGUUUGACUGGCACAGAGGCUGAGUUCUCAAGGGACCCAUCAUGGGAGCAAAUACAUUCCUGCAAUAUGUGGUUAGUCUGAUUCAAUCAAGCCCAGUGCCUGCUCAUCUGUCACCCAAGCCACUCUUGCGGUUCUUGGCUCAACAAAUUAUUAUGAAAAUGGUUUCACGUCUGCUGCCAAUGGUAAUGUUGCCUGCUUCCAGCUUUAGGGAGGAUAUUUACAGUAUUUCUAUCAGUGUUGAGUCGGAUUGGAGCAAAACCAAGCAAUCUCUACAUCUGCUUAUACUUAGAAGCAAUUCCUUUCACGUGUGCAGGUCAUGCAGUGCCGGCUCUGACGUGACCUGGUUGUGUAGGACUUCAGUGGCCUUAAUAGCUUUGAAUUACCUAAUGGAAAUAUAUUUUGGAAAUAGAAAAUAGUACACAGUCUUGGCGAGUAAUUCCUACCAUGGUAUGGGAUUUGAUAUUGAAAGAGGAAAAAAAAAUAAAGCUCUUGCUGCCAGCAUCCAAGAGAAUACACAUAGAAUUUUCUUUUAUUUUUUCAUAAGAUGGCUCAUCAGGUUGAAGGGAAGAAAUAACAUUUACUGAGAGUGCUUUUUGAAUUCUCACAAGAACGCCAUGGAACCAGCGCUCUUAGCCCAGUUUUACAAAUGAGGAAAAGAAGUCAGCUGGGGUAAGGAGAGGGCUGAUUGACAGCUGCCCAUCAGGAAGGAGUGAAACUGGGUUUUCGGCUUAGAGCUGAUGUGCUGCCUUCCUCUGCUCCCAGAGCUCGACUUGUGUUUCGUUUCCUCUCGGAUGUGGAGCAUUGCUUUGGGUGGCGCUGUUCCCUUUAGAGAAGCAGAGUGCAGCCCCAGUGGCCCUGUUUCUGCUCUCCCAAGGGGUCAUUGCCCUUCCUUAACAGGCUCAGGUUUCCUCCCCCCGCGAGUGGCAGUGGGGACGAUGUCUCCAGGUUCACAAGCCCUGCCUGUCCUGACUGCUGGCCUGGGACAGAAGUCACUUACAGGGCUGCAGAGCUCUGUGCUGGGCCAGCUGCCUCCUUCCUUGCAUGUGGGGGCAUGGGCGCAGGGGACUUGUUUUUCUAGUUGGAGGGGCAACAAGGAAAUUCAGGUUGCAGCAGAGGAGCGCUCCUCCGGGGAGUGCACGCAGGGAGGCUGACCCCUCUGUGGCUGGGGAGGAAGGGGAUGGAAGCUGUGGGCACGGGUGUAUAUUUAGAUCCUUGGGAGGCACCUUUCAGUGACAGUGAGUGAUGGAAUUAUGUUUUUGUUAACAAAUGAGUGAGCUGUGCUGUGGUUUUUAACCAUGUAGCAUUUUGGAUACAUAGGGUGCAAUAAUAAUAGUAAUAGUAAUUAAUAACAGCAGUAAUUGACAGGGUGCACAGUGUCCAUGAAGCCUGUGCUGGGUGGGCCCACUGCAUGGCCCCUUACGUGUGUUUUCAUUCAACCCUCAGGCAACCCAGGAAGCAUUUCUCACGCGCUUGGCCCACUUCCUUUGCCCCUAAGUCACAGCACAGAGUAGCCGGCUGCUCCUGCCACGUUAGCGCAGCCCCCAGGGGUGGCGAACCUGGGCCCCUGUUGUCAUCCGGAAGUAAGGCCAAAGCAAGCCGAGGGCCACUGUGAAAUCAAGAAGUGCAGCUCAACUGUAUGCCUCUUUCUUGGCAGUCAGAUAAAGAAUGAUGGAUGGCCAGCGCCGGGGCUCAACAGGCUUAUCCUCCGCCUUGCGGCGCCGGCACACCAGGUUCUAGUCCUGGUCAGGGCGCUGGAUUCUGUCCCGGUUGCCCCUCUUCCAGGCCAGCUCUCUGCUGUGGCCAGGGAGUGCAGUGGAGGAUGGCCCAAGUGCUUGGGCCCUGCACCCCAUGGGAGACCAGGAGAAGCACCUGGCUCCUGGCUUCGGAUCAGCGCGGUGCGCCGGCCGCAGCAUGCCACCCGCGGUGGCCAUUGGAGGGUGAACCAACGGCAAAAGGAAGACCUUUCUCUCUGUCUCUCUCUCUCACUGUCCACUCUGCCUGUCAAAAAAAAAAAAAUGAUAGACAGAGUCACAAAGGAGAUCUGAGUAACUGGCCAUGUUUAUUUACCAUCCCUUCUCUGUAACCCUGCCUCAGCUGUGCUGCUCUGGAGCACGACUGCCCUGCCCGGGACGGCUCCGUGCCGGCGGCUCUGCGCCGGGCCUGCAGGUGUUCCGCAUGGGCAGCUCCAGUUUUAGUGACCCAGGCAAGGUGACAGCAGUGCUGGCCUGGACAGGCGUGGAAAAGGCUCAUCAGAGAGGCCACUCAGGGUUCCCACCCUGAAUACCAGACAACCCAGGCCACGUUGCUAAGUGGACAUCUGUGCUACUCAGGACAGAGGACUCAACUUUCAGACCCAGCCAUGUGCUCGGGAUGACACAUAGAUCAAUAGCAUGUGUCACCUGCUGAUGUCACAGCCGCUUGAGCUUGGGCGCGUAUGCUGUGAGAUGUUUCAUAGCAGCAUUGCCUAAUGAGACAUUUCUCAGACUGCGGCCCUGACGUUAAGUGACAUGUGAUUGUGUAUGUAUCUGUCUGUGCAGGGACAAACAUGCCAUCCUCAUGACAGGCUACAGGGUCUGUGGCCCAGCAUGUGGCCCCUGGAAUCACCGGGCUGGGCUUACAUCUGGCCUUGCCACCAGCAGUGACAGUAGCCCUUGGACAAGUUCUUGAAUCUUUCUGGUUCCGUUUCCAGCAUUGUAAAAUGGACUUAGCCACUGCCCUGUCUUUGUGGGGUAUUUAGGUAAAACAACCCCUAGUUAUUACAUCAGGCAUUGCCUGGUGCAUUGUUACUGCCUAAUAAUUGUCACCCAGGAUGGUGUUUAUGUGAAGUUCCUCCUCUUCGUAUUGUGCUGACUAUAACAUAGUAAAACCAGCUUUGCUUUGUGUAGACUGUUAGCAUUUCCUAAACGUGUCUGCUCGUUCACACCUCACAGCUGCCCGAAGAAGCACGUGGAUGGGUGAUGUAGGUGAGGAAACAGAUCCCGCGGGGCUGGUCACCGCCGGGAGUUCACCUGAGUCACAGCCCUGCUUCUUCCCACUCUGCUGUGUGGGAGGGCCCUUCAGCAAGUUUUUGGGAGAUGGAAUUAGAAAGUUUACUUUGGUGUGAACAUUUUUUGAAAUCCCAGCAUUAGAUGUUCAAAAAGUUCAUGAAAAUGUGUAUUAUGGCAAAACUGAAUGGUUUCCAAAAUCUUUGUGCACCAAAAUAAAUUUAACUUUUAAUUGCACCUUCUGUGAACGUUUUGCAGUCCUUGUGCUUCUGUAGCAUAGUCUCCCCUGGUUGGCUUCCCGUGUAAGAAAGACUCAGGCAUCUCUCCCCGCGUUGGGCAGCUCCGUGCCAUUGGAAAGCCUGUGGGGCACUUGCGGGUGAGCCCCAAGCAUGCAGUCUUUGGUCAGGAAGCCCCAGGGCGUGGAGAGUUCUCGGGCCACUCUGAGGCCCUGUGUUUAUCUCAGGCCGCUCUGAGGCCCUGUGUUUACUCCUUUUACAACCGUCCUCUAACACCUGACCCUGAGAGUGCUCUAGUGCAGGGGUUAUUAUUGGCUUCUUGGAAUCCAGCCCAGUCUGACUUAAGGAUAUUCAGCAGGUUUUUGAACACAGCCAUGGGUUUUCCUAGAAUUGGGAAGGACGACGCACACUGGGUCUGGCCUUGGAGUUUCUGUGCUGCAGAGAGUGUGAGGACCUGAGUGUGUUGACUGCUCUGCUCACCCUGGGUGCUCAGGUGUGGGAUGUUUGACCUUGGGCAUUGUACACCGAGCUGUUCAGCAUCUCAGCACUACUCAUCGAGUGGUGGCUGUGAUAGUACUCCUCUCACAGGGGUGUGAAUUAAUGCCUACUGAAUGCUCAGAACUGUGCCACUGAACGUGCUGUGCGAAUCUUGGAGAGUUGUUCGGUUUUUCUUUCCAUUGACUUUUUAUCCACAGUGACGAGCCCAGGCUAGCCUGGUACAGAGACGGGGCUCAGUUUGUGUUGGUGACAAGCACAAAGUGACCUUUUGCCUUCAGCAGUGGCUGUGGCUUGCUGAUGAAAGUUCUCUGAGACUUCAGCCAAGAGGCCAUGUUUCAGGAGCUGGGGACACAGGGCAGCUGCAGUCACAGCCACAGCUUGGGGUGCCAUUGCAUACAGGCGCAUAGUCCUGCUGUUCCCAGUCCUGGCACCCCACUGGCAUUUGUCAUCUCACAGAACUUCAGGUGAAAGCCACCUCCCAGGCUUUGUGGCUCCGUCAGUCACUUCCUGUGACCUGUUGAUGAGUCCCUGCUGAUCCUCCUCAGAACCGGGAAACUCAGUCUUCAUGGGUUAGCCAGCUCGCCUGGGGAAGGGCAGCCUCCUUUCCCUGGGGUGCGCUGGCUGCCGCCUGCAUUCCACCCACACUGGCAGAAAAACACGAUGACAGCACUUGAAUCCUCCAGUCUUAGCACUGUGCCACGUCCUGUGCUCUGUGCAGGUGGCCUGGUGGAGAAUGAAGAAGAGACGCCCAGCUGCCCUUGGGAGGUCUCUAAUGUAGAUGGGAGGUGCAUGUAGAGGAGCAGAGUGGGAUUAAGCUUGAUACAAUUGCUGUUAAGAAGCAAGCUGGGCGUUAGGCGAGGGAAGAGAUCCACUUCCUCGCAGUCCCUGGGGUUAUUGUGUGUUGGGGAGAAGUGUCUCAGGAGUGUCCCAGUGGUGGGGAGAGAGCCACCCAGCUGUGACUGGGGAGACUUGGCUUCCAUGCAGAAAACACAGCGUGUACUGACCUCGAGAUGGGAGCAAGCUGCCUGUGUUGGAGGAAGCGAUGUGGGUGCUGAGUGAGGAAUGUCAGGUGACAGGGGUCGGCAGUGAGCAGCUGAGAUUGGGAUGUUAUUCCACAGGAGUUAGGAAGCUAUUACAGGGUUUCAAGCAAUAAAGCUGACUGUCGAUUGGAGACUGGAGUUGGUGAGAGAAUGUUACCAGGCUAUGGGUUUGGUGGGGUGGGGGGGUUGCUGUAAGAUCAGAACUGGGGAGAUGAGUUACAGGGCACCGGCCAUGUUGCAGGUGAGCAAGCGAUGGCAAUGGGAGUGCAAGAGAGGAGAGGAUGGUUUGUGUGUGUUGUGAAGGUAGAAUCCAUGGGGGCCAGCGCUGUGGCUCAGCAGGUUAAUGCCCUGGCCUGAAGCGCCGGCAUCCCAUAUGGGUGCCAGUUCUAAUCCCAGCUGCUCCUCUUCUGAUCCAGCUCUCUGCACUGGGAAAGCAGUGAAAGAUGGCCCAAUUCCUUGGGCCCCUGCACCCACAUGGGAGACCUGGAAGAAGCUCCUGGCUCCUGGCUUCGGAUCAGCACAGCUCUGGCCAUUGCAGCCAAUUGGAGAGUGAAUCAUCAGAUGGAAGAGUUCUCUCUCUCUGCCUCUCCUUCCUCUGUGUAACUCUGACUUUCAAAUAAAUAAAUAUUAAAAAAAAAAAAAGGUAGAAUCCAUAGCCCAGGCUGAUGGGUGGAACAAAGAGGAGGAAGGAAAUGAGAUGAUGAUGGGGAUCAUGCUAUGCGUUGAAGAUGGUCAGAAAGCAGUUGGUGGGUCUCCCUCUUGGGGCCCCGCCAUCAUUCAGAGCUGGGUUGACUCUGGCAGGACAGUGCUCUCCCUAGACAGAGCUGGCAUCAGCAAAGGCUUUAAUAGUACAGAACUCUGUGCUUGUUUGUAAAGUGCUGUGCUGCUGGCUGGGAAUCACUGACAAUAUAUAGAUUUUUUUUUAAUUUAUUAGACAGGCAGAGUUAUAGACAGUGAGAGAAAGAGACAGAGAGAAAGGUCUUCCUUCCAUUGGUUCUCUCCCCAAAUGGCUGCUACCGCCAGUGCUGCAGCAAUCUGAAGCCAGGAGCCAGGUGCUUCUUCCUGGUCUCCCACAUGGGUACAGGGGCCCAAGCACUGGGCCAUCCUCCACUGCCCUCCCAAGCCACAGCAGAGAGCUGGACUGGAAGAGGAGCAGCCGGGACUAGAACCUGGUGCCCAUAUGGGAUACCAGCACCGCAGGCCGAGGAUUAGCCAAGUGAGCCAUGGUGCCGGCCCUGACAGUAUUUUUUUUUUUAUUUUAAAGAUUUUUGUUUUAAUUACUUGAAAGACUUAAAGGAAGAGAGAGAGAAAGAGAGGUCUUCCAUCUGCUGGUUCACUCCCUGAAUGGCCACAGUGGCCAGAGAUGGGUCGGACUGAAGCCAGGAGCCAGAAGCUUCAUCCAAGUCUCCCACGCAGGUAUGGGGGCCUAAGCACUUGGGCCAUCUUCCACUGUUUUUCCAGGCCAUUAGUAGGGAGCUGGAUCAGAAGUGGAGCAGUAGGAUCUCAAACUGGUGCCCAUAUGGGUGCUGGCACUGCAGAUGGUGGCUUUACCUGCUAUGCCACAUCGCCUGCCCCCACUAAUAAUAUUAAGAAUAAAAUAUUAGGCCAGCACCGUGGCUCAAUAGGCUAAUCCUCCACCUGUGGCACCAGCACACCGGGUUCUAGUCCUACUCAGGGCGCCAGAUUCUGUCCCGGUUGCCCCUCUUCCAGUCCAGCUCUCUGCUGUGGCCUGGGAGUGCAGUGGAGGAUGGCCCAAGUGCUUGGGCCCUGCACCCGCAUGGAAGACCAGGAGAAGCACCUGGCUCCUGGCUUCAGAUCAGUGCGGUACGCUGGCCACGGCAUGCCGGCCGCAGCAACCAUUGAGGGGUGAGCCAACGGAAAAGGAAGGUCUUUCUCUCUGUCUCUCUCACUGUCCACUCUGCCUGUCAAAAAAAAUAUAUUAAAAACAAUCAACAUCUGACAUUUUUCAAGCCAGUAUGCUACAUGUUGUGCAGACAUGAUGUUCGCAAGAGUUAGGAGUAGAUUAUUUCUAUUUUAUCAAUGAGAAAAAUCAAGGCUGGAGUUGAUUAAGUGAGCAGCCCAAGGCCCCCUAACAAAUGCAAAAUACUGGAUUUCAAUCGAAAGCCUCGGCUCAUGUCCACCAGCCAGUUACUCUGCAUGGUGGCGUCAUUCUUUAUUUUGCAAGAAUUCUACUUUUUCCCACCCCUGGAACUAGCAGCACAUCGUUAAUCCACAUUACUUAGGAGGGAUUUGACAUAAUGUCCCUCCCACAGCCUGAUGAAUUAAUGAAGGAGCAGCAGUUACGCAAGAGUGACAUAGCUCCUGACCUACGUAUUUGCUUGUUUACACGUGCAAUGUUAGAAGCACCCUUAAAUCAGAAAGCUGUAAGCCAGGCAGAGUAAAUAAUUUCUGUGGCUGACUUGGGGAGAUACUUUCAAUUAAUUUGGGCAGGAUCAUAUGUGAAGUUCGUAAGGAUUAGAGGGAGAAAAUGACUUUCUUAUUUAGCUAAAGCUUGUGUUAUCCUCCAGGUAAACAUGGUAAUGCCUUCCCAAGGAAGAGAAGUGUCAACAGCCGCGGUGAUCAGGGAACCGUGCACCGCACGUCAAUAAUUAGAAGCAGGGCCCCCAGGGGCCUCGCGAGGGAGUUCGCAGCAGGAUGCCCUUCUCUUGGUGAGCCUGUCUCAUGCCGUGGUGAAGCCUUGCCACCUUGGUUUUGGGAGCUGUGGCAUCACAAGUGGAUGCUGAAGCUGAAGCGCUCAGCUGGCUGCUCAGUGCCAGGAGCCAGAUCCUGCCGCCGUGUUUGGGUGGGUGGCAGACCGUCCCUUGACUUCCAGCGGCCCAGCCUGCAAAAGUGUUCAAAGUUUAUCCACCCUGUCCAUGGUGUCAGUGACCACGUUCUGGGCCUUGAAAGACAGACCGUCAUCAGUUAGCGUUUUGUUCAACCAAGGUAAUCGUUAGCCUUAAUGAAGUUUCAUUAAGAGUAAUGGGCUCAUUAAGCAUAAAAUGGCUUGAAAAAGCUUAACUCUCAUCAUUUCUUAGAAUAACUCAAACCUUGGCUAAGAAGGCUGACUUUCACCUUUGUGCAACAAGCAAUCAACAUUUAAUUAGUUGAGAGCUUUGAUUUGUUGAUUACAGCACAUCCAGGGCGUGAAUAUGUAUGACAUUCUAAGAGCAACAGAUGCUGAUCAGCCACAGCUUUUCUGAAGCUCCUUGUCCAGCGGGUUUAAAAGGCUCACAAUGAAUAUGGAUGCCAGCGAUUAUUUAUAGAAUAACUCUUCUAUUCCCAUCCUUAGCCUUUACAAAGUUAUUUUUGAGUUUACUGUGACCUGAUUUUUAAUUCCAAGAGAAGAAUGCUUUGCUGUUAUUUUCUUUUUCGAAAUGUGCGUUCCUCAAAUAAAGGAGACAGGUUGUGAACAUCCAGCUCACUCAUUUACAAGCUGGGGAAGCGAUUGUUGAGUUCACACAAAGCUUUUGCAUGCUAUUCAACACGGUUUUUAGUUGUUGGUUCUCCUGGAGGCAGUCCUGCAUGCUGGGAACCCCCAGAAAUGGAUGUGUCAAGUGCAUCUGUAGAUGUGUGUUCUUGCCAACAUCUCUUUCAGGAUGCGUGCAGUCGGGUCUCAAGUAGAGUUCAAUGCCAGGUUGUUGUGAGCAUUCGUCUGGCUUCUCUGGUUUGUCCUGUUGCAUGAAGCCUCCUGAGUUUCCUUUUCUUUGCAAAACAAGAAGAAUAUUUUGAAGGCAUUCAAAUAUGGAUUAGCAGUUUAUUCACGGGACGAGUGUUUUGGCCAGAUUCUGAACAAGUAGGGAAAUCAUUCCCCUACUGCCCCAUUCUUUAAUGUUCUCCUGCUUGCUCUCCUGGUGUUGGGAUUGAGGCCGCGAGGAUGUGCUGCAGCUCCUGGGGUGCUGGUUAUUAUCAAGGUGGAGUCCUAAGAAUGGGGUCAAUGUUACUUGGGAAUGAUUGCAUCCAGUGAUGCAAGGCACACGUUCUGCUCAGAUGACUGGCAACACACUGUGCUUCUGCAGUCUUGAGCAUCCCUGUGUGAUGAAGUGUUCAGGCACAGACUCUGCAGCUGGGGGCAGGGAAGCUGAGGAGUGGAGCCACAUCUGGGCCUCAGCUGGGCUGAGAGCUGUGUGACCGAUUGUGCCUCAGUUUUAGUGUGCGUUUCAAUCACCCGGGCUUUCUCUUAUUUCCCCCUCUGUUUAAUGGAACUGACUAUAUUUUUAGUGCAGGUUCUUCCAAACUAACGGUGAGCUGAUGGAUGAAGAUGAUGAUGAAGAACAGACAGCAUAUACCAUUUACUGGUCUUUGUCUGGAUUGGGAUUACGUAGCAGACCUUCCCAGUGCAGUACACAAGUACAUUUGUUUUUCUUGCCAUAUUUCUAGCAGAAAGGGGAUAUUGCAUUGCUUGUUCAAAUGAAGUGUGCACAUGAAGUAUUUUCAGAUGUUAACGUUGGAGUUGGCACCAGAGCCUGGCACCAAACGUGGUAUCUUUGGGAAUUAGUUAAUAAGGCUCUGUUUCUAUUAGCAGAGAGAAUAUUAAAAUUCUCCCCCAAACAGCUUGCUGUGUGACAGUGGCUUUGUUGCAGUGGGAUAACAGGAGCAGAGCACAUUAUUAAUUUAGAGACGGCGAGGCAGAGCUGUCCUCUCCCCCUUUAGAAUUAAGUGAUGAGAAUGGGCAUUUGUGAAAUUGACUGAAUGCUCUUCAGGGGAUGCUUAUUAAAAUCCUAACAUCGUUGCAGAGUUUUGUAGCAGAUUCAUUAUCAGCUGUAAUCUUAUUAGGACUGUUUUGUUUUGUAAUCACCAUUCCAUCCAUGGAGCCCCUAGGUGCACGCCAAGCCUCUCUGCUGGUCUCUCCCUUCUGGUCAGCUUCAUUCUGAUGAAUUAAUUCCUCUCCUCUUCUGCCGAUCAGGCCCUUCGCUUACCCUCUCACUCAGGGUUGGACAUUGUCUUACUGAUUUCUUUUUCUCUCCUCCUGGACCAACUCAACAGGACAGUUGCCUUGAUGUAUGCGUUUUUGUUCCUCAAAAACAGUAUUCUGCAGGUGUCACAGACAGCUUGCCUGCUGCAUUGUGAAACAGAGUGGGCUUGCGGGAUAGAUCCAGUAUCGGUUCACAGUGUCACCAUCACAACUCCUUGAUUCCUGUCCAAAAUGUCCUAAACAAGGCGUCUUUACAGAACCAGGUUUAGGUUCAUAUUCCAGCCUUGGGGAAACUUUUACACUACUGUAACCCUUCCUUUCCUUAUUUUUAGAAGAGCCAUUCAUUCAUUUUUCCAUCCACUGAUUUGUCUAGUGACAAGUAAGUACCUAUCAGGUGCUGAAGAUAGAAUAGUAGACAGACAGGAAGGCCUGCCUUCCUGAGCUUAGAUCCUGCCGACAGGGACAGUCAGGGGAGCAAGUGAGAUGUUAGGGUCUCUUAGUGUGAGAGCUACGGAUGAAAAAUAGGGCAGGACAAGAGCUGACUUUUUUUUAUUGAUUGGGUGGGGGGUGAUAUUGAAAUUUUAGAUUGGGGCAGAGAGGGCUUCACCGUGAUGGUGGCAGUAAGCAAAGAGCAGAAAGAAGUGCUGAGGCAGGUGGAAGACGUCUGGGAGAGAGGACAGUAGACAGGAAGCUGAAAGGGGGCACGCGUGUGUCUGAGGAAUUGCCGGAGUGUCUGGAGGAGAGUUCAGAGCAAACAGUUCUGGGGGCGUGGGCAGUGAGAAUGGAGAGGCCGCGGGGCUGUAGCAAAUUUGGAAGCUACUUCUAAAAAUGGAUGGAGAAGUAGAACUACGAGAUAAGGUCAGUGUGGUGCCAAAGUUUUUUUUUUU